This 78356-nucleotide long non-coding RNA is filed under the name Lathyrus oleraceus (garden pea). Its description in RNAcentral is "Pisum sativum (pea) long non-coding RNA (PSAT_LNC009107)". The record is from RNAcentral. Lineage: Eukaryota; Viridiplantae; Streptophyta; Magnoliopsida; Fabales; Fabaceae.
AAAAAGAAACUGAUCAAUCUUCCACCUCUCAUCAGGUGCGUGCGCGGCUUGUCUAGAAUAAGCAGUCAUAUCUUCGAACUUCUCAGCAUACGCAGCUACUGACAUAGUACCCUGUCUAAGCUGCUGAAACUCAAACUCUUUAUGUGUCCUCAAAGAACUCGGAAAAUACUUAUGCAGGAAAAUAGUCUUAAAAUGCUCCAAAUCCCUAGGUAUUCCUUGAUUGGUCAUAAGAGUCGAAGCAUUCUCCCACCAUCUCACAGCUGGACCCUUCAUCAUGUGAGAAGCAAACACAACCUUAUUCUCUUCACUACAAUGCACUAUAUGAAAAAUCCUUUCCAUGUUGGUUAUCCACUCCUGAGCUUUCACAUGAUUCAACCCACCAUGGAAUUCGGGAGGAUUCAUGUGGAAGAAAUCUCGGAAACUACCACCUGCGACUUCUUGUGGAACCCCCUGAGGAUGAAAACCACCAUUCCACUGUUGCAUCAUCUGUUGCAUGAAUUGAUUCUGUUGUUGUUGUUGUUGCAUCUGUUGCAUAAAUUGAGGCCAUUGAAAACCUUCACUACCACUUGGCGGUUCAAAGUCUGAAUUAUGGGUUCUGGGUCUACCACGACCUCUGCGUCUAUCAGCCAUGAUCCUGAAUGUCAUACAAAUAGGAUUAAGUUGAUCAGGCUCAAUACUAUGAAUAUAACACCAAGGACAAUCAUGACAACCCACAUAUGAGGUAGAAAGAAAUAUUUAUAAUAUUUCAUGGAUAGGUCGAGGAUAUGACCUGCUCUGAUACCAACUGCAACACCCAUAUAUAAUAUAUGUCUAGAAUAAAUAUUAUACGUAGUGUAAAACUGGUACUAAAAUACAUAAGCGCUUAGCAGCACAGUGUACAUAUACAAAUACAUGCCCAAAAUAAGUAUAACAUGGCACAAGAUGUACACAAAAGUGCCAAAUAUAAAACUACUGAUCUAGAUCAUUAGACAAUGAUCCCAAAAAUAUCUACACAACGGAAAGAAAAGCCAUCAGUCAUCAGGUAAGCAAGACAUCACUCUAUCUUGCCCUUACCCUUCUCCUGCUCAGAACCACCUAAAAAAUAAUCAACAACAUGGGGUGAGAUGAUAAUCUCAGUGGGUUCCCUAUCUUAGUCCACUCGGCUCUCAAGGGUUUUCUAAUCAAUAUUCAACUCAUAUCCAACUCAAGUCAACAAGGGAACGAAGACUUGAGCAAGGGGGAAACUAACUCGCAAUGUAUGGCAACAUGCACCUGAUUUCUCAUAAAUCAACCACGAUCAUUAUUGAGAUCAUGAAACAUCAAUUCCCGAACAGACUUAUGUCUAAGCCAGGCCCGGUUUAUGCAUGCUCCUAUGAUUCGACUUUCGUGGUAGAUAUCGGGUCCUCUAUGAGGCUUAAUCCUAAAUUCAAGCGACCGUCACCCAUAUGGGAAUCUAACCCACUUAGGGUCUCUUUCACCGUAUGGGAAUCCAACCCAUUUAGGUGUCCACCUUUCCCCCACGUCCGCCGUUGUUGGGGCUCAAACCCAAUUGAGGCUCGAAUCAUCGGUCUCACAUCCCAAUGCUUACUUUUCAAAGCAUACCAAAUAUAGAUGUACACCAUCAUAGAAAAUACACAUUUUAAAUACAUAAUCGGUUCAUAAAACAUUGGUUCCACAAACCAUAACAAAAUUAGUCAAUCACAGGUGACUUCAUUCACCAAAAUACAUAAAUAUUAACAUGGCAUGUUCCAUACAAUGCGUCUCAUUCUCAAUCAUGGCAAUGAUUCGUCCACGACCUCCACAUAAGCGUCGUACGAAUGAAUACCGUAUUCUCAUAUUACCUAGGUUGUAAACCUAACUCAUGACCUAAUUUCAAUCCUAAGUUAACUCACUAGAUUCAUCAUGUAAUUUUCACCAUUAACGUGUAUUCAACAUAAGCAUAGCAUCACAAUUUAUUAAUGGUUGGAAGAAUGCAUUUAGAAACACUUAAGAAAUGGAUUUUGAAGUUUUUAACUUAAGUCAAUCGAUUGGUUGGGGAAGCCUAAUCGAUUGGUUCCUCUCACAUUUUUAUUUUUCAAAAUUUGCUGAGGAUCAAUCGAUUGAUCCUGAGUGUCAAUCGGUUGGCUCACUGAAUUUUUUUCACUGUUCAUAUACAACAAGUUUGUGCAAUCAAUUGUAAUGCAGUGUCAAUUGAUUGGUCAUGCUAAAAUUACAUUUUUUUCUGCAAAACAAGGGGCUGUCAAUCGAUUGAUGACAGAGACCAAUCAAUUGGUCCACUCACAUUUUCACAUUUUCCACUUCACAGACACCCUUCCUCUGUUAUUUCAUUUCUAACACACCAUCCACUUCUUCUUCCAACAAAACUCAUCAUAUUACAUGCUCAUAUACACAUGUAUAACAAGGAUUCCAAGUUCAUAACCACAAGGAUUUCAACAUCAUAAACACAACCAAUCAUUUAACCACAACCACAACAAACACAUGUAUAACAAGGAUUCCAAGUUCAUAACCACAAGGAUUUCAACAUCAUAAACACAACCAAUCAUUUAACCACAACCACAACAAAUCAUGUUAUCACAACAAUCAUAAAGAACCUAUCAAGCAUAUGUUCAUAAAAACAACAACAUCAAGAGAAAUAUUCAUCAUAUAUCAUGGAUUGUUCAUGAUUUAUCUAUGAUUCCAAAAUCCUAAUCUUCUCGAUACCUAGAGUUUCUAACUAGAACCCACAUUAAGAAAUUGAAGAGGAGAAGUUGUUGAAAAUGAGAUGAGGAUGAGGGUGAUGGUGUUGGUUCCAAGCUUUCCUUCUUCUUCUUCUUCUUCUCCACUAGCCUUGCUUUCUCUUCUUCUACCUUUCCCUUGAGCUCCUUCUUUCUUUCUAUGCUUUCUGAUACAUAGAAAACCAAAUGGCUUAUGGUAGAUAAUAUAAGGUAGUAACAUGUGGACCACAAGCCUUAUAGCAUAUGUGUGGUUAGAAAGUGGUGGAAACAAAUAUCUUAAGUGGCACCAACCAUAAUAUUUGUUCUACCAGAGCUAUUGACCCAUUAUUAGUGUUAUCAAAAUGUCCCAAUUAAUAAAAGGUCAGACUCAAUUAAUAUUAAUUAAGUCAACCUGAACUCACUAUUUACUCUAUUUAUCCCAAUCGGCAACUUUUAGAGCACAGAGGAACUCAAUUGACCUCAAUUAAUAGAAAUUUAGGCAUUUAAAGAAAUACGGGGUAUUACAGUAAAUACUAUUAUUAAAGUUUGGAAAAACCUUGCAAUUCUUUGACGAAAGGAUUGACAAAGAUAUGAUGUCUUUGGAUAUAAUUGAAUGCAAUGAAGAUAUCAUUAGGGAUAUGGAAGAAGCACAUAUCUAAUUAAUCUUUGAUAGUGGAAACUCGACUCACGCUUGAUUAAUAUUAAGUCUUGAGUUAAAUGAUGAAAGUACACUAUUAGAGUGAUUCAAAUACUUGACAAUAGAUACAUCUCAAGAGGUAAAAGUACUUGGACCAUAAGAAUAAAUGUGAUAGGAUGAGGUUUUUCUCUUAAUAGAAAUAUCAUAUAUGUUGCUUGAAUGCAUAAUUAUGGGUGCAUUUUUUAUAUAAUCUACCUAUAUGAGAAUGAAGUGAUGCCGCUUCAUAGAGUUCAAGGACCUGACUCUUAAAUUCUUAUGAAAAGAAUAUGAGACGCAAGGUCUUAUUUAAUGUGUCAUAUUAAUAAUUUGAUCAAUGAUACCGAGAUUUUAUGUGUGAGUUAUGCAUGCUUGUUCUAAUGAAUAAUUGAUUCAAAAUUUGUCUACCAAUCUAUUCGGGGAUGAGUGAAAACUUAAUUUACUAAGUAUUGAUUCAAACCGUAAGAUACCUUUAUCGGAAACUAUGAAAUUUCCUGAAUAAUGGAUUUAAAUAUAUUUUGAAAAUGGUAGGGGAUUGUUGGAGAAAUUUCUAAAAUAUUUAAUUGAAAAAGAAUAAUGAUUAAAUUAAUUUUAUGAAUCUUUUUAAUCAUAAGUUGUCACAGGAGUGAGCACGUUAAAAUGUUGUUUCCCUUCACCAAAUGACAUGGAUUUCUCUAUAAAUAGAGAUAAUUUAUAGACCUAAACACACAAAAAUUAUUUGUUUCAAGUGCCAAAAAUUAUAUCUAAGUCAUUAUUUUAUUUUUAUUGUGCACGAGAAUAAAUGAGAGAACUUUAUUCUGUAAAAUAUCGUUGAUUGAUGUGUUUAAUGUGAAUGUCCGAUUCAUGUUAAGGUUUCCAAAGUAUCCUGAAGGGGAUUCACGGGAUUACUCAUUUGCAUCUAAUUUGCCUAAAUUGGUAGGAGCGAAUCGAAUCUAAAAAAUUUAGUGUAAACACACGCUUUGGAAUUUAUUUUGUGCAACUUCGAUUAUAACAUCUUCAUCUUCUUCUUAUUCAAGUUUUGCAGCAGACCCCAACACAAACUCUAAUAUAUUUCAUUCAAAAUCGAAUAAUAAAAAAAUGAAGUACCACGAAUACGGUACGAGUACCCGAUACCGGUACUUAACUAUUUUAACAAUACUCAUUCUUCAAAGUCAAAAGGUUAAUCAAAUACAUCUUACACUCUUCGAAUGUCUUUUAAUAUUCUGAGUCUCAUAAAAAAAUCUUACUCUUUAUUUACUUUUAACAAAAGAGUAAACACAUUCGUUCUUGUAUAUUAAUUUAAAAUGAAUCUUUUAAGGUAAUUAUUAACUUUGCCUAGAAUGAUUUAAGUUGUUUUUUAUUCUCUUGGAAUUUAGAAUUUUUUUUAAAAGAUAUUUAAGAGGAUUGAGAAACACUUUUAAACACCUUAAAUUUAUGUGAUUUAUUUUAGAACUUUAUUUAAGAGGAUUUGAGAAAUAUUUUUAACUUUUCUUAAAAAUUUUUUUGAAGAUAUUUAAGAGGACCGAGAAAUACUUAAGGCUCUGUUCGGCAAGACAUAUUUUUGAGCUUAUGGCUUAUAGCUUAUAGUAUAUAAGCUUAUAUGAUAAUUUAGACGUGUUUGAUAAUGAUCUUUUCAUCACGAGCUUAUAGUUUAUUUUACUAACUUAUAGCUUAUUUUCCAUACGCUAUUUAAAUAGUAUUUUAGCUUAUAGUUUAUAAUUUAUUAUUUUUUCUUUCAGAUUUAUCUUUAUAUUUUAAUAAAAUUUCACUUUUAUCCUGUAUAAUUUAUUUUUAUUUAAAAUAAAAUAAUUAUAUAUUAAAUAUAUUUUAUAUUAUUUUACAUUUAUAAGUUAGUUUUACCAAACACUUCAAUUAUCUUAUUAACUAUUAAUCAUCAAUCAUCAACUAUAAGCUAUAAACUAUCCGCAACCAACCAUAAACUAUAAACUAUCAACUAACUUCUCAAUCAACCACUAUUUUUAUCAAAUAAAACCUAAGUAAAAAGUAGAUUUUCUUUUUACAAAUGUGCGUUACUAUUUUUUUAACUCUUUUGUAAUCUUUUAAAAUUAUUUUUGAAAGUAUAAUGAAUGAGAUAGUUAUUUUUUCUUCUAGAAUAGAUCAUUUAAUCGAAUUGGAUAAAUAAAUAAUUGUAUUUCUUAUCUUUUUAGUAUUUUAUUACUUGUUGUAUAUUUGUCUUCACUUUUGAUAAAUUAUUAUACUAUUCAAGACUCGGAUUCAACUAAUCAAAACUUUAAACUCAAGUAGAUUCACAUCACUCCUAUUUGAUAGUUCUUAAUUUGAAUAGUCCUCUCGACUAUCCAAAUAUCAUUUAAACAUAAUUUCGCGGCCAAUUGCUUUCGAGUAACCAUUUAAAUUAUUUUUAAAUGCGUAUAUUGGAUUAUAUUUUGCAACGAAAGAUCAACUUCAUGGGAUUGAGACAACUCGGAUCCAUGAAACAAAGGUGUAACAUAACAUCCAAGAUAAAACCAAACUAGUAUUUCCAAUAAUCAAAUCCACUAAAUCGGUUGAAAGGAGUUUUAUGAUUUGAUUACUUUCUUUUUCUUUUAUGAGGCAUUAUUGACCCAAGUGAAUGCUCAAUUACAAUAAAAAUCAUAUUCAACGGUACUACUAGUACUCCAUAACAUUAUUAUAAUAGAAUAAAAGGAUAUUGAAUGGUUUGUGAAAAUUUGAACAAACAGUUGCGACAGAUUAUGGGCUGUCAUGAAUUAUUUUUUCACGUAGAAUGACAGAAAACAUGAAUCUAACGUAAAACGUUAAGACCCCACAACACUAUCACUUUACGUACUGUCGAGUCAACCAACAAAAAAGUUCAUGUUUAAGAUUCAUUAACAUCACUUUUUUCCUUUUGAAACGUGGAAAAAUAACCUUGCAAGAUCUGAAUGCAAUAUAGAGAUUUUGGAAUGUAUAUCCCUUGCCUUGUGGGAGGAGCAAUACCCUAGCAAGAGAACAUAAAAGUCAGAAACUUUUCAGUUUGAGGUACUCUAUCUAUCAGUAUUAUUAGUUCUAACUAGCACUCGUGAAUAUAGCUGGAAUAUCAAACAAAAUGGCCUUAUGGCCCCCAAGACAAUUGCUACCUACUUGAGAUUCUGUAGUGUUUUAAGGUACACGAUGUGAAAAUGAGCUAUAGAUAGAUGUGUCAAAUGAAGCGGUUCCAAUCUAUGGCGCUAUAUUACAAAAUGGGCCCGACCGAACCACUCAUAGUUCAAAUGAGUUUUUCUUAGAAAAAUUUGCAUUCUAUUUCGUAACAGUUCAGAUUUUAGAAUUUGAAAAAUUGUCCUUAAUCCAGAAAAACUCUCUUUUAAAAUUCUAAAAUAGCAUUUAUGUUUUAGAUUCCACAGUUUCGUAACAGUUCAGAUUUUAGAAAUUGAAAAACUGUCCAUGAUCCACAAAUUCUCUUAUUGUGGUGACACAAUAUUAUUGAGAAUUGAGAAUGUAUAAGUGUUAUUAGUGUGUGUAAUAGUCUUAUAUUGGUUGAAAAUAUGAAGAAUUGAGUAUUUAUAAGUGAGAGAACUCACUCACCUAUCACCUUAAGAUUUUAGGUGAAUAUGUGGUGUGAAUAUGAGUUUUUCACAUAAGGACAUUCAAUCAAAAUACUUUCAAAUGUCAUAUCAUAUAAGUAAUUUAAAAUUUAAAGACUGAUUUGACGGGAGAUAUGAUUGUAAUUGAUUGACAGGGCACUGAACGUGUAUCGGGAUAUGGUUGUAAUUGGUUGACAGUGCACUGAACGUGUAUCCCGCCAACAGUGUACUACCUUUACCUUUAAUGCUGAGUGGAAUUUCAAAGAAUUUCCUUAAAUGGUUUGACUCAUUCUUCUAAUUGGUCGAUACAUUGAGCUAAUGAGUUGAUUCAUCCUGAAAAUUUUUCUUUACAAAUUGUCUACUGCCUCCGAUGUUUGACUCUACUUAAUUUCAUAUUGACUCAUUAGCGUAUGUAUCGGCUCAUUCCAUUUUAGAGUCAAUAUAUUUUAUACCAAAUUUUAAAAUUGCAUUUUGGCUAAAAAUUAGUUUUACUCAUUUCUUUUCUACAGUCACACAUACAUAUAAAUAAUCAUUCAUACAUCAUUUAUAAACGAUUGAAACCUGAAAGAUACAAAGAAUUGUCAUCAUCUUCAACCUCUCUUGACGCGUUCAUCAAUUACACAUAAUCAUUUUUUAUUAUUUGUUGGCAAGAAAAGUUUGAUAAGGUCCAAUUUAGGUUUGUGUAAUCAAAUUGGGUUGAAGUUUUCUUUGGGGGUUUCAAGGAUAAAUCUGUUAGGGUUGUUACUCCAAGAUCAAGGGUUAAUUUGGAGGUUUUUGCACAAGUCUUGUCAACUUCAAUAUUUUUACACUGUCAACCAAUCACGAAUGUGUAUCCCGCCAAGUCACAAGUUUAAUUUUAAAAUACUAGUAUGACAUGAUAGAAUGUUAUAAUUUUAUUAGAUGAUGCUGUAAAAACUAGUUUACAGUGACAUUGUACUACCUUUAAUAUUGAGUGGAAUUUCAAAGAAUUUAAAUCUGCUUUAAAUGGAUCGAUAUAAAGGAUAAAUGGAUCGAUAUAUCAUGUGAAUGGUUCGACUCAUUCUUAUUUGGGUCAACUCAAUCUGAAAGAUGUUUUUCAAAGAUUUGUCACUGCUUCUAAUUGGUCGAUACAAAGGAGAAAUGGGUCGAUACAUUGAGCUAAUGAGUCGACUCUCCCGUGUUUAGAGUUGACUCAUCCUGAAACUUUUUCUAUACAAAUUGUUUACUGCCUCCAAUGUUUGACUCUACUUAAUUUCAUAUUGACUCAUUAGUUGAUGUAUUGACUCAUUCCAUUUUAGAGUCAGUACAUUUUAUACCAAAUUUUAAAAUUGCAUUUUGGCUAAAAAUUGGUUUUACUCAUUUCUUUUCUACAGUCGCACAUACAUAUAAAUACUCAUUCAUAUAUCAUUUAUAAGCGAUUGAAACAUGAAAGACAAUUGGGGAACUGCCUAAACAAAUCUUGGUGCUCUCUCUUUCUCAAUUUUCUUUUUAGAUUUUGAUUAUACUUAGUGUAUAAUUUGAAUUGUUGAAAAUUCUGGUUGUGUUGAAGUGUUUAAAUUUGUUUGUGUAAAACCAUUGCAAUCUAAGCCAUUGCAAUUGAUUUGUUGUAAAUUCAACAUAAAGAGAAUUAAGCUUGGUGUAUUUCACACAAAAUGUUCGAUAAAAUUACUGCACACCAAGUGUUUGACAAAAUUCCUUUGUCAAGUUUAUUUUUGCUUCUCAUUGGAAAUCGUUUAUCUUAAGUGUGAUUUAUAUUCAAACUAACUAUAUUGAACUUGUUGAUUGGAUUUUCUCAUCUUUAGCAUACUUUAUGUUACGAUUUGUAUGCAUAUUCGAUCCUACCAAUAACGGUUCGGAUAGACGAGAGUCGAUCCAAAUUUGUUUUCGCUUGCCCUAGAAAAAUAUAUUUCAAAACAUAAUUUUAAUAAGAAAAUUUGCGUUAGGCGAUCUAUUCACCCCCCCUCCCCUUCUAGAUCGUCGUCCUCGUCUAAUAGUGGUAUCACGAGCACUGGUUUAUCUUGUGCUUCAAAUUUUGCUUAUUAGAUUAUGGCUUCCGAACACAUAAUAAACUUACGCGUAUGUUUUUUUUGUAUUUUAUUAAGAAACUUUUCAUCACGGUUCCUAAAAAUAAUCGUGGAUGGUCAUAAAAUUUGGAUGACAAGCUUCGAGUCUAAGCAUCAAUAUUUUUCUAUUUUUUCCAAUAAAAAUAAGUGUGUGUCUCUUCACAUUCAUUGUUCUUUACAAACUGAAUGUAUAAUAACUACGAUUGUUUCAUUCAGCCAUGAUUAUAUGUUAUAUAUUUCACUACAGCUAAAGCUUGCAACCGUUGUGAGAUUAUUUCCCACAAAAUUAAAACAUAACAAGUACUUUAUUUCUUUCAUAACACACAAGGAUGCCCUAGCGAACGAGACGACAAUGAUAGCGAAAUCUUCACCAUCUUCGUUCAUUUCUAGAAACGAAAUCGUCAUCCUCUUCGAUUCACGGUACGUGACCAUUCUCUCUUAUGAGUGCAAUAUUCUCUUAGGUAGUAUUUUUAAUGAUUUCGAAACUAGGUAGCUUAGAUCUUUGUGUAUUUAAACUUUUCAAUCUUAAACGUGCAUCAUCAUCAUCAUCAUAAAACAUGUAAGACUAUAUUACAUAAGUCAUCUCAUGCCAAAAUAUGAGUUUUUCACAAAAGGACAUUCAAUCAAAAUACUUUAAAAUUCCAAAUCAUAUAAGUAAUUUAAAAUUUAAAGACUGAUUUGACGGAAGACAUGAUUGUCAUUGGUUGAUAGUGUAAAAAUAAUUUACACUAUUAGAGCACCAUUCUUUUUUUCAGUGUAAAAUAUUUAUACACUAUCAACCAAUCAAGAAUGUGUAUCCCGUCAAGUCACAAGUUUAAUUUUAAAAUGCUAAUAUGACAUGACAGAAUGUUAUAAUUUUAUUGGAUGGUGGUGUAAAACUAAUUUACAUUGACAGUAUACUACCUUUAAUACCGAGUGGAAUUUCAAAGAAUUUGGAUCUGCCUCGAGUGGGUCGAUACAAAGGAUAAAUGAAUCGAUACAUCAUGCAAAUGGUUCGACUCAUUCUUGUUUGAGUCGAAUCAAUCUGAAAGAUGUUUUUCAAAGAUUUAUCAUUGUUUCUAAUGGGUCGAUACAAAGGAGAAAUUUGUCGAUAUAUUGAGCGAAUGAGUCGAUUCUCCCGUGUUUUGAGUCGACUCAUCCUGAAACUUUUUCUUUAUAAAUUAUCUACUGCCUCCAAUGUUUGACUCUACUUGAUUUCAUAUUGACUCAUUCAGAUGAUGUAUUGAAUCAUUCCAUUUUAGAGUCAAUACAUUUUCUACCAAAUUUUAAAAUUGCAUUUUGUCUAAAAAUAUGUUUUACUCAUUUCUUUUCUACACUCACACAUACAUAUAAAUACUAAUUCAUACAUCAUUUAUAAGCGAUUGAAACCUGAAAGAUACAAAGAAUUGUCAUCAUCUUCAACCUCUUUUGACACAUUCAUCAACUACACAUAAUCAUUUUUUAUUGUUUGUUGGCAAGAAAAGUUUGAUAAGGUCCAAUUUAGGUUUGUGUAAUCAAAUUGGGUUAAGGUUUUCUUUGGGGGUUUCAAGGAUAAACCUAUUAGGGGUUUUACUCCAAGAUCAAGGGUUAAUUUGGAGGUUUUUGCACAAGUCUUGUCAACUUGGAUUUAGUCGAGCGAAGGCUUUGAAGAACGGGGGUUCUUGCAAAGGAGUGGCGGUAACCGGAGGAUCAAUUGAAAGGCAUGAGGCAAUAUUUUGCAAUUUGGAUUUAGCCGAGUGAAAGCUUUGAAGAACGGAAGGUUUCGUUAAAGGAGUAGCAGUAAUCGAAGGAUCAUAUAGAAGAUCUUGUGUGACUUGAUCUUGCUAAGAUCAAGGGUAGAGAAUGAGCUAAGAUCAACAUCAAACAUAGGGUUUGGGGUUUGAAUUUUUACUACUUCUCUUGUAAACUGAUAUUGCAAAGGUUAAUUACAAUAUCUCAAUUCAAUUUCGAAUUGAGAGCAGAUGUACCCAUAGUGAGGACAACCGGGGAACUGCCUAAACAAAUCUUGGUGCUCUCUCUCUCUCUUCAAUUUCUUUUUAGAUUUCGAUCAUACUUAGUGUGUAAUUUGAACUGUUGAAAAUUCUGGUUGUGUUGAAGUGUUUAAAACUGUUUGUGUAAAACCAUUGCAAUCUAAACCAUUGCAAUUGAUUUAUUGUAACUUCAACACAAAGAGAAUUAAGCUUUGUAUAUUUCACACCAAAUGUUUUAUAAAAUUACUACAUACUAAGUGUUUGACAAAAUUCAUUUGUCAAGUUUAUUUUUACUAUUGGAAAUCGUUUAUCUUAAGUGUGGUUUAUAUUGAAACAAACUAUAUUGAACUUGUUGAUUGAAUUUUCUCAUCUUUAGCAUACUUUAUAUUAUGAUUUGUACGCAUAUUGAUCCUACCAAUAACGAUUCGGAUAGACGAGAGUUGAUCCAAAUUUGUUUCCGCUUGCCCUAGAAAAAUAUAUUUCAAAACAAAAUUUUAAUAACAAAAUUUUCGUUAGGCGGUCUAUUCAAGCCCCCCCCUCUAAAUCGUUGUCCUCGUCUAAAAGUGGUAUCACGAGCACUGGUUUAUCUUGUGCUUCAAAUUUUGCUUAUUAGAUUAUGACUUCGAACCAAAUGGGGCGUAUAAUAAAACGUCAGUUUUCAAUGGUGAGAACUUUGAUUAUUGGGAGGAUUGUAUGUGUAUCCACAUUAAUUGUAUUGAUAGAAAAGUAUGGAGCGCCAUCUAAAAUGGUCCAUUUGAAAUAAUUAUGGCUAAUAUGGAUGGUGUUGUUGUACCUAAAUCGGAAGCACAAUGGGAUGCAGAAGAUGAGAAAAAGUGGUCUAGUGACUGGAGAGCAAGGAAUAUUCUAAUCUUCGCCUUAGAAGUUGAUGAAUAUUACCGCAUUUCUCAUACAAAAUUAUUAAAGCUAUGUGGGACACAUUACAAGUUUCCUGUGAGGGUACUAAUAAAGUCAAACAAUCAAGAAUCAACACUUUAAAUCAAGAGUUUGAACUCUUUCACAUGAAGCAUGGUAAAACCAUUAUCGAUAUGCAAAAGAGAUUCACUCAUCUUGUAAAAUGUUUGAAUGCACUUGAUAAGCCGGUUUCCAAUGAUAUUGCUACUAACAAAAUUUUGAGAUGUCUUAAUAGGGAAUGGCUACCUAAGGUCUCCACCAUCAAGGAAGCUAACAACUUAUUGACUUUGGAUACUACAACUUUGUUUGGUAAGCUUGAAGAACGUGAACAAGAGUUCAUUAGCUUAGAGAAGCAUGAGAAGAAAGUUAAGAAAGAAAAGAACAAAGAAAAAGAGGUAAAAAAUGAGUCCAUUUCUAUUUUGGCUUCUAGUUCCAAGUCCUCAACAAAAGAGCAUGACGAAAGUGCAUCUAGUGAUAAUGAGAAGUCAGAUGAUGAAUAAAUGAUAAUUUUUUGUAGAAGGUACUAUAAGUAUAUUAUGAAAAAUGGAAUAAAGCAUCCAGAUAAGGAUCUCAAUAACUAUAGAAGGAAUUCAAAUAUAUCAAGGGAAGAUGAGAGUAAGAAGGGAAAAUCUAAAGGUUCCUGCUAUAAUUGUGGAAGAGUCGGUCAUUACAAGUCAGAUUGUCCAUUACUUAUUAAAGAUAAAGGAAAGGGCCAACAAAAGAAGUCCAGCAAGUCUAGAAGAGCAUACAUCGCAUGUGAUAGUGAUAUUGAAUCCUCCAAGGCGGUUAGCUCAAGCGAAAGUGAUGAUAUGACAAAUAUUUGCUUCAUGACCAAGCAAAAUAAGAACAAUGUAAGUCAUUCCAAGCACAAGAAGAAGAAUGUAAGUCAUUCUAAACAUUAACCUAUUGAUGAAAUGUCUUAUUCCUAAUUACAAAUUGCUUUUGAAAAUCUAUAUGGUGAAGCGGUAAAUGCUUUAAAAGGUUGGAUUCAAACAAACGAAUAUUUUCUAUUAUGAAACUAAAAUUUUAGAAAUGGAAAAAAAAUUGGAAGCUCUUAAGAAAACCAUGUUUGAUGUUCAAAAAGAUAAGAUUGAGGAUGCGAAACCUUCUUGGUUUGGUUGUGAAACUUGUCACAUUUGGCAAAAAAGAGGUUAAUAUUCUAAAAGCCAAAUUAGACAAGGCAUUAGAACCAAAAGUCACCUUAGCUAUUAAUCCUACAAAAUUAAAAAGAUCUGUAAAUGUGUCGUACAAGAAGUACAAUCAUGUGGAAAGGGAGUAUAAUAAUGAAAGUCACUCUCAUCGUCACUUGACUUGUCACUAUUGUUGUAAGAAAGGCAUACCAUUGCUAAAUGCAAAUUUAGGAUAUUUUUGGUUCCUAAAGGUGUAUUUCAAUGGUUUCCCAAGUGCAACAAUAUUUAUACUCACCAUCAAGGACCCAAUGAAAAUUGGGUACCUAAUAUUAUUGUUUGACUUUGUAGAGAAUUUUUUUUGACUUCUUGAAUAGAGCAUGAGAUCUUAAAAAGGAAAGCUCAAGGCAUAUAAAAGGUAACAUCUCCAUUAUUCAUUGACUUUGUGGCAAAGAAGAAGGGUGUUGUGACCUAUGAAGUUGACAAAUAUAAGUGCUAAACAAUGAAAAAGGUAGUGUAGGUAAAUCCACAUUUCACUAUUAUCUUCGAUAUUAUAAUUGCUUGAGAAUACUUACUACUAUUAAGGUUGAAUACAUCACUUGCGAUGUAUUGUAUCAAAGAAAUGUCUAGAAAGUUUUUUUUUCUUUUUCAUGAUGCAUAUGAAUCUUUAGAAGACAUACUCAAAGUCACCAAAGAUGGAUUAAUCACCCGGAAAUGGUAGAAUUUGAGGAGUAGAAAAGAUGACCAUCAAGUCAAGAGAAGACAAGUCUUCUAUAACAUCUUGGAAACUUGACCAAAAGCGUGACUAUACGCUUUUAGAUAAUUAUUUUCUGUUAUCUCUUAAAUUAUGUUUCAAUUCUUAUCUUAAAUCACUAAGUUGUCUUCUUUGAUGAGUAUUGGCCUAAGGGCAUGUUGUUUGAGUUAAAAUCAUCGUGUGGGAUUUUGUCCUACAUUCGUGAGAUCAUUAAUAUUUAGGUACCGAGUGUAUUUAUGAAAAUGAAUUGGACAAAUUCAACUUGAUAACAAAUGGAUUUCAUCAUUGGCUAUAUAAGUAAAUAAGUGUAAGUGAUCAUUUCCUUCAUCUUUCAUCCAUGAGGUAAUAUUGUUUCACUUCUUUCUUUGUGCAUAAGUUUAUUUUAAACUACAUGUAUUACUUGUAUGUCAUGUCUUAUUAUUGCUUAUCAUGCUCCAAAAGCUUUAAAUUAUUUCAAAUGGACGUGAAAAGUAUUUUCCUUAAUGGUUAUAUAAAUGAGGAAGUGUAUGUUUCACAACCUCUCUCUCGGAUUUAAAAACCAUGAGUAUCCUAAUCAUGUUUAUAAACUUAAACGAGAUUUGCUUGGUCUCAAACAAGCCCCUAGGACUUGGUAUGAGCGACUUAGUAAAUUUUUGCUUGAUCAAGGAUACUCUAGGGGGAAGGUAUAUACUACAUUUUUCAUUAAGCGUCAAGGAAAACAUCUUCUUCUAGUUCAAAUUUUAUGUUGAUGAUAUAAUAUUUGACUCCACUAACAUGAAACUAAUCAAAGAGUUUUCUAAGCUUAUGUAGAGUGAUCUUGAGAUGAGUAUAAUGUGGGAGUUAAAUUACUUUGUCAAACUUCAAAUCAAGCAACUAAAGGAAGAGACAUUUGUGUGUCAAUCAAAUAUUGUCACGAGUUGCUUAAACGCUUCGGAAUGGCAGAUUCGAAGUCUAUUGACACUCUGAUGCCCACAAAUGAAAACUUGGAUAGAGACGAACAUGGUAAGGAUGUUGACAUUAAAAUGUAUAGAGGUGUGAUCGGAUAUCUUCUAUACCUCAUUGCAUCAAUGCCUGAUAUAAUGUUUUGUGUGUGAAGUGUGCUCGGUAUCAAUCUGCUCCCAAGGAAUCAUAUUAAAAAGUUGUAAAGCACAUUCUUAGAUCCCUUUAGGGUACAUAUAAGUAUGGACUUUGGUUUUCCAAAUGGAGUGAUUAUAGUUUGGUUGGUUACUCUAAUUCUGAUUUUGCCGGUUGCAAAUCGGAUAAGAAAAGUACUGGUGGAACAUGUCACUUAUUUUCAAACUCCUUUAGUUAGUUGGUAUAGAAAGAAGCAUGUCUUAGAUGCUUUUUCAAUUGUCGAGGCGGAAUACGUCGCAUCCAGUAGUUUUUGUGCUCAAAUUCUUUGACUCAGACAAUAAUUACUUAACUUUGAUAUUAAACUUGAACGUAUUCCUAUCAUGUGUGACAACCCUGGUGCGAUCAACCUAACCAAAAAUAAGGUGUUACAUUUUCAUACUAAACAUAUUGAGAUACAUCGCCAUUUUCUACGAGACCAUGUUGAAAAAGGUGAUGUCAUUUUUGAGCAUGUUGAUAGCAAAAAUCAACUUGCAUAUAUUUUUAUAAAACCACUUACGACUGAGCCGUUUUUCAAUAUUCAUCGGGAAUUAAGCAUUCUCGAUAUCUCAAAUCUUGCCUAACAUAUGUUGAUUGCAUGCACUUUCUAUAUCUUGUUUAACUUUUGUUCGAAAGUUCAUUUUCGUGUGAAGUGCAUUCUCCAUCUCAUCCUAUGAGGUAAUAUCGCUAUAUAUUUAUCUCUUUGCCCUUAAAGUUUCAAUGAGGUAUGUUGUUUAACUAUGACUAAAUUAAUUGCAUAUUUAUAUUCCAUGACUAUGUGAUAUAAAUGAUGAAUCAUGAAGUUAAUAUGUGUUCACUUCCAAAAAUCUCAAUUGAUUACACAUGUGUUUUCAAUAUAUAUGCUUAUAAUGACAUCUUGUUUGAUCUCAUCAUCAUGUGUAUCUCAUAUCAUUAACAUCAAAUACUUGAAGUAGUUGUAAUUAUAUGUGUGGAUUAACAUGUUAUAUGAAAUUCUGGUACGCAUAUAGCAGAUGUCGUAUACGAUGUCACGACACUAGGAUCGGGACAUGUCACACCAGAAACAAGUACACAGAUAACAGAUGUUGUAUACGAUGUCACGAGAUCAGGAUCAGAACAUGUCACAUCAUAAACAAUUACAGUGUUAAAGUAUAUAGUAGGAAGUAAAUAACACGGGUCAAUUGUUAACCUAGUUCGGUGCAACGUCACCUACAUCUUGGGACAUCCAAGCCAGGAAGGAAAUCCACAAUAAUAGUAUUAGUUUGAAGUUCUAAACAACAUCUGGUUUUACAAACUUAUCACCUAAUCAUUACCCUUGGAAUUUCUAUCUAAGACUCUCCUAGAUAUGAGACUCUUCUCACUUACCUUCAAUCACACAACAAUGAUAACAACUUCUAACAAUAAACAGAAGACACACUUCCAAUAAAACAGAAUCCACUCUUGCUUAAAAGCUCAUGAGUGAUUCACAAUUACAACUCAAAAAACUCAGUCCAAUUCAAGCAUCUAAGUGAUACAAGAAUUUCUCACAAAUAACAAUGAACAAACUAAACCCUAACAAAGACUAUUACAUACGCAACUUAGUUGUUUUCUUAGGUUUAGAAUCAUCCUUUAAAUAUCCCCAGAAUAGCAUGGGCUUUGGGCUAAAAAAUCAUUAGAUCCAAAACAAAUCAAAUUACAUCCAAUAUGAUUAAAUCAAAUAUGAUGUCUCCUUAAAUGUGUUGACAUCCAUUCUGCAGAAUUAAAUGUUUUGACAUAUGUUUUGCAUAAUCUUCUAUCAAAUCAAAUCAAAUCUAAUGUUUCCUUAAAUGUUUUGACACCAAUACUUAGGAAACAUUGCACAGCUAGAACCAAUAUUUAAGCUUCUAAAAAAAGCACUUUGAACCGCAAAAUGCGUGAAAUAAAUCAUCAAAGAAUAUUCACUAAUCUCACAUUAAAAAACAAAUCUUCCAAGAAUGUAAAACAACAGCAUGCCACAAUGUUGUACAAGCAUAUCAAGACAUCUUGUCCAACAUCUUUCUAUUUCACUUGUUUUAACAAAAUGCUGCCAAUCACAAAACACACAACCUAACAAUCUCCCAAUUUGGAAUUUUUUUUGGCUAAAAUAACCUUUGCAAAACAUAUCUUGUAAAAUCCAAUAAACACCUGAGAACUUCUUCAAAGAAAAAACACAAUAAACAAUCUUGGAACUUCUCUAAGAUACAUCAGAGGCAUACACGUCAUAAUCAGAUAAAAUCAGACUCACAGAGAAUGUCACAUCAGAGAGAAGUAAACUCUCACAACACAAACUUUCUGCAGAGAAAAAUAAAUUCUCCCAGACAAGAUGUCAAGACAUUUGGUAUGACUUCACAACAACCAAACAACACACAUAAACUAUCACUAUCACUAAGCAUGUCAUUAUUAAGCUAAAAGAGAAAAUACAUAUGCUCCCCCUAGAUAGCAGAACAAAGUCAAGAACUACUCCCCAUCCAGUAGUAUUCCCUCUCAAAGGGAAAAAUGCAUAAAUACGCAUAGGCAAAAGAGAACCAAACCACUACUCCCCCUUUUUAGCCGAAAAUUGACGAACAACCACAAAAGUAGUAGAGAAAAACUGAAAAUAGAGGUAGCAACACAUACGAAAUAUUAUGUUACAUACCAAAAUCACUAAAAGUGCUAAAAAUGUAGGGCAUAGCCAACAAAACAAAUACAAAAGAAAUAAUCAAAACAUGUCAGAUGUGAGAACUGGCAUUUGUUUCUUCAUCAGUAGCAACAUUUGCAUCAUCAUUCACAUCCUCCUCAUUUUCUUCUUCCACAUCACCAACCACAUUACAUCAAUAGCCUCCUGAGUUAAAGCUUUGAUCAGUCUUUCCAAUCUGAUUUUCUUUGUAGUGCAAGUUUUGAUGGUUUCAUCCAAAGCCUCACAUGUAUCUUUCAGUUCAGUAAUUAUUCCAUCCUUUGAGGUUGAUCUGGAAGUUUCCUUAUAAGAUGUCAUGACAAUAUUUGGGACAUGUGUCCCUGCAAACAACCUAUAGUGCAAGGAUAAAGGAGAUUCUCCCUUACUUGCUGCAUCAGAACUGAUUAAUAUCUCAGGGUGUUGGCUCAUAAUUAUUCCACAAAUUAGAGAGGGAAAAGUAAUAGGCAUUUUCACAGCAAAAGUACUAGUAUACUUAAGCGUUUGCUCAAAGACAUAAUACCCAAAAUCAAACAUGGUUUUGGUUCCAACAAUGUAAAUGAAUUUACCCAAACAUGUAGCUAUGGUUAAGGUAUGAUUUGUAGGAACCCAAUUGACAACUCCUAUCCUAUGAAACACAUCAUAAUUCACACUUAACCUGUUAGCUAAUAUCUUUCCCUUUCUUGGCCAGUGUGGAACCUGUUUGGAAGUGAUUUCAUACACCUUUUUGUACUCCUUACUCUUCUUAUUGUCACAAUCCGUAGGAAUGUUCAUAAUGAACUCCUUUACUAGCCUUUCAUAAACUUACCAAACCCAACAACACUCUUCAUUAAUCAUGCAUUCUCAAUAAUACUUACUACCUCCUUACAUUCAAGGGUAUCCUUCCUAACUUCUCUUUCCAAAACCAACCUCCUUUGGUACACAAACUUCCAAUUUUCAACAUUCUCAAUAGAGUGAAAAGAGAUGUUGUUAGUGGGAACUUCAGGCACAUUUGCAGGGACCUUUUUCCCAACAACUUUCAUUAGAGGUAUGAUGUCUUGAACAUUCUGCUCGACAUCAUACUUAAAGUCACUUGAAGGUGCCUGCUUCCUUUUCUUAGUAGGAGCCACAAACUUGCUUCAACCUUUAGUAGGUCCAACAAUAACACUUUUCUUGGGAGCCUUAGAUGGCUUUCUUGCAGAUGUAACAUACUUUUAUGUUCUAUUCCUUAAUCUUUUAGCAAUACUCGGAGCCAAUUUGUUUCCAAUAGGCUUAUCAUCAAAAUCUAGACCAUCAACAUUUACAAUAUUAAUAAACUUAUCCUUCUUCACACCAGUAAUAUCUUUUUCUUCAGACAAAAAUUUCUCCUCCUUAACAUGUAUACUUUUAUCAUCAUAGCCAUCUUUCUUAUUAUUAAUUGGAGUUUCAUGCAUCACUAAAUGGAGGGAAGAGAAAAUAUUGUUUACACACCUCCACAUUAGUAAUAUCUAUAACUCUUCAAACAUGCAAAUUCCUAAUUCGCCCCUUAACUUCUCAAACUGAUUUGCAUCCAAAGCUUUAGUAAAUAUAUUUACUAGUUACUUCUCAGUGGCCACAUGCUCAAGAGUAACAAUUUUUUCCUUAACAAGAUCCCUAAUAAAAUGAUGAUGAAUAUCAAUAUGCUUUGUCAUGCUAUGUUGAAUGGGAUUCUUGGAUAUAUUGAUUACAUUCAGAUUGUCACAAUAUAAUGUCAUGACUUCCUGCUUGACAUUGCAUUCCUUUACCAUAUGUUUCAUCCAAAUCAAUUGGAAGUAACUGCUUUCUAUUGCAAUAUACUCAACCUCAACAGUAGAUAAUGACACACAAUUUUGCUUCUUGUUGAACCAAGGUAUAAGAUUAUUUCCCAAGAAGAAGCAUCACCCAUAAGUACUUUUUCUAUCAUCAACAUUACCUGCCCAGUUUGCAUCACAAUACCCUACAAGCAUACAAUUAGAACUAUGAGAAUACAACAUGCCAUACUCACUAGUACCGUUAAUGUUUUUCAAGAUCCUCUUCACUUAAAUAAUAUGACGGAUUUUAGGCUCUGUCUGAUAUCUAGCAUAUACUCAUACAACAAAAGUGAUGUCUGGUCUGCUAGUUGUAAUAUAUAAAAGACUAUGAAUCAUACUCUUGUACAAACUUUGAUCCACAUCAACACCUUUUUCAUCCUUAGUUAAUUUCAAGUGAGUUGUUGCAGGUGUCUUUUUGUGACUAGCACUUUCUAAGCCAAACUUUUUCACUAUAUUCUUAGCAUAUUUUCUUUGAGAAAUGAAGAUAGUAUCAUCCAUUUAUUUAACUUGAAGACCAAGAAAAUAGGUUAAUUCACCAACAAGACACAUCUGAAAUUUAGAUUGCAGUUGCUUAACAAAAUGUUGAACCAUCUGGUUCGACAUCCCUCCAAACACAAUGUCAUCAACAUAUAUUUAGGCUAUCAUGAGUUUACCAUGCUCUUCUUUAAUAAACAAGGUCUUGUCUGUUCCCCCUUUCCUGUAGCCAUUGUUGACAAGUAACUCAAUUAACCUUUCAUACCAAGCCCUAAGUGCUUGCUUUAAACCAUAUAUAGCUUUAUUUAGUUUGAAAACAUCAUUUGGAAAGCUAUGAUCUAUGAACCCCUUGGGUUGUUCUGAAGGAGAAUUGCGAUCCAAAACGUAGCGGAAAUUAUUCUCCUUUAGAGAUCCUUACGAAUGGUCAUGAUCAGUGAUAGAAUAUUUACCUCUUGUGACGAUUGAAACCUUUGGUGCAGAUCUCUUAUGACGAUCAAAACCUUUGAUGCAGAUCCACGGAGCGAUCACGAACGUUGAACGAUGACAACGUCUCUACUCAGUCUACACGAACGGAUUCCUUCAAUCUCAGUGCUAGCUGGUACGAAUGAAGGCUUUGAGUGAGAGAGAGAGAGAGAGAAAACGAAAAUAAUGCAACCGCAAUGAAUGCUUCUACACAAGGGUUCUAUUUAUAGAACCACUUGUGUGGGCUUCAAGCUAAAAAGCCCACUUAAGUGUAUUUUGGCCCAUAUCUUAUAAUAUGCCCAAAAUCACUUAAGCCCAUGGUACCUUACCAUAUUUCGUAUUCUACUCAAGUACACCGUACCUUACGAUGUUCUAUAAUUCACUUAAGGGCACCGUACCUUACGGUAUUCCUUAGUUACUCUAUCUCUCAUCAAUCCGUCCUUUGUGUGUGACCCUGUAGGUUUUCGCGACGUUGGCAAUUAUAUUAAAUCACGCAUUUAACAUAAUAAACAGUGAGCGGUAUCUAGCAACACAUCACUGCUACCCAAGACACGAAAAUGUCAUGUGAUCUGACAAUUCCUUCUGUGAUAAUACUUAUGUGUAUAAUUACCCUUUUGCCCUUAUGUCUAUAUUGAACACAAGGCAUAGACCGUGUCAUCCUUGUCCAGUUCAAUAUUGGGCCCAUAGACAUUUAUCCUGUUAUGCAGGAUGGGCAAAUUCCAUCUAGGUCACUCAUGUCCCUCAGCAUGCUUCGUGGAGUACCCAUCAACUGUCUUUAUGGUUAUCCAGUUACGGACAACGUUGGAUCAGCAAUAAAGCACUCGACUCUACAUCUAGGGUCCAUAGUGGUUUCAGGUCGAAGAGUGGUAUACACCAUUAUCACCAUGAGAAUAACUUAUGACACUUUGCAUAACUUUCUAUAUAGUAUUCUCAUAGCGGGUCAAUCCGGUAUAAAUAUUACUCUUAAUAUUCAUACCUAUGUUUAAGACUUGAUAACUCCUUAUCCAUGAUCCAUGAGAUGUGAUCAUCAGUCUACAAACAUAAUAGUCUUAAUGCUUUAAUGUUAUCCCACUUCACAAUAAAGCUCGACUACGGAUACUUUAAGAAUAGUGUCCUUAUGUUUAAUGUGAUCUCAUGAUUAAGUCAUACUUGAUACAUUAAACAGACUAGCUAUUCUAGGGACUUUAUUAAACAAACAUAAUAAAGAAAAAACCUUUUAUUAUUAAUAAAUAAUUCGAUACAAGUACCAAAAGUAUUGGCCUCUAGGGCUUACACCAACAAUCUCCCACUAGCACUAGAUCCAAUCAUGCAUACCCCUAAUGCCCAUAGAUCUAGUAUGGCCAUCAUGCUUCUGCCGCGCAAGAGGCUUUGUCAGUGGGUCAACAAUAUUUUCAAGUGUAGGUUAUCUGCAUAUUUUCACAUCUCCUCUAUCUAUCAUCUCUCGAAUGAGGUGAUAACGCCUAAGUAUGUGUUUGGAUCGUUGGUGAGAUCUAGGCUCCUUGGCUUGUGCGAUAGCACCAUUGUUAUCACAGUAGAGACCAAUGGGAUCUACAAUGCUAGGAACUAUGCCAAGUUCACUAAUGAACUUUUUGAUCCAAACAGCUUCCUUUGCUGCACUUGAGGCAGCAAUAUACUCGGCCUUGGUUGUAGAAUCAACAAUUGUAUCUUGCUUUGAACUUUUCCAGCUCACAGCGCCACCAUUUAAGCAAAACACAUAACCAGAUUGCGAUCUAAAGUCAUCCUUAUCUGUCUGGAAGCUAGCAUCGGUGUAUCCAAUUACAGCCAACUCUUCCUGACCUCCAUAUAUCAAGAAUGAGUCCUUAGUCCUUCUUAAAUACUUAAGGAUAUUCUUGACAGCUACCCAGUGAGCAUCACCAGGAUCAGAUUGGUACCUACUCGUUGCACUUAAAGCAUACGAGACAUCUGGUCGAGUACAUAACAUGGCAUACAUGAUAGAUCCUAUUGCAGAUGCAUAUGGAAUCUUAUUCAUGCGAUCCCUUUCUUCCUUAGUUAAAGGGGAUUGUGUUUUUGAUAGACACAGGCCAUGUUGCAUAGGUAUGAAUCCUUUCUUGGAAUCAUGCAUAUUAAAGCGUCUCAACACUUUGUCUAUGUAUGUACUCUGACUUAGGCCAAGCAGUUUUUGUGAUCUAUCUCUAUAGAUUCUGAUUCCUAAUAUAUAGGCUGCUUCACCUAGGUCCUUCAUAGAAAAGCAUUUCCCCAACCAAGACUUUACUUGUUGUAGGGUAGGGACAUCGUUUCCAAUGAGUAAUAUGUCAUCUACAUAUAAUACCAGGAAAACGAUCAUGCUCCCACUAACCUUCUUGUAGACACAAGGCUCAUCUUCGUUCUUGAUGAAUCCAUAUUGUUUUACUGUUUCAUCAAAACGAAGAUUCCAGCUUCUGGAAGCUUGCUUCAAUCCAUAGAUUGAUCUUUGUAACUUACAUAUCUUUUGGGCUUCCUCUGGUAUGUCAAAUCCUUCAGGCUGUGUCAUGUACACAUCCUCAAGAAGAUUUCCAUUAAGGAAAGCAGUUUUGACAUCCAUCUGCCAUAUUUCAUAAUCAUGAUAUGCAGCGAUAGCAAGUAAAAUCCGAACAGAUUUAAGCAUUGCAACUGGUGAAAAGGUUUCAUCAUAGUCAACCCCAUGAAUUUGUUUAUAUCCUUUUGCAACCAGUCUUGCCUUAUAGGUAUGUACCUUACCAUCCAUGUCAGUCUUCUUUUUGAAGACCCACUUGCAUCCUAUAGGGUUAACUCCUACAGGAGGCUCUACCAAGGUCCAAACUUGGUUUGUGUACAUGGAAUCCAUUUCAGAUUUCAUGGCUUCUAGCCACUUCUCAGACUCGGGACCAGUUAUGGCCUCUUGGUAGGUCACAGGCUCAUCUUGAUCCAUGAGUAAUACAUCACCUUGAUCAGUUAUGAGAUAUCCAUAUCUCUCAGGUAGGUGACGUAUCCUGCUUGACCUACGCUGGUCUUGUUCUACUUGAGCAGGUUGCUCUUCCACAACUUCUUGUGUUUCCUGCUCUAAUUCCUCCAUAGGUGUAUCUAUGCUUUGUGAUUCUUGAAUUUCUUCAAGCUCUACUUUCCUCCCACUGGUUCCUUUGGAAAUAAAAUCCUUUUCUAGGAAAACUCCAGUUCGAGCGACAAACACUUUGCCCUCAGAAGGAUUGUAGAAGUAAUACCCUCUUGUUUCUUUAGGAUACCCCACAAAUAAGCAUUUGUCAGAUUUGGGCUCAAGCUUAGUUGAAAUUUGUCGUUUCACAUAAACUUCGCAACCCCAAAUCUUCAUGUAAGACAUAUGUGGUUUCUUACCACUCCAUAUCUCAUAUGGUGUCUUCUCAACCUUUUUGGAUGGAACACGGUUAAGUGUGUAAGCUGCUGUCAAUAGUGCAUGUCCCCAAAAGGAGUUUGGAAGAUCGGCGUGACUCAUCAUGGAUCGGACCAUGUCUAACAGGGUUCGAUUUCUUCUCUCAGAUACACCAUUCCAUUGGGGUGUUCCAGGAGGAGUAAGUUGGGAUAGGAUCCCACACUCUUUCAGAUGGUCAUCAAACUCUAGGCUUAAAUACUCACCACCUCGAUCUGAUCGAAGAGUUUUAAUAUUCUUACCUAGUUGGUUUUGUACUUCAUUCUUGAAUUCCUUGAACUUUUCAAAGGACUCUGAUUUGUGUUUCAUUAAAUACACAUAACCAUAUCUACUGAAAUCAUCAGUGAAUGUGAUGAAGUACUGAAAACCUCCUCUGGCUGGUAUGUUCAGUGGUCCACAUACAUCAGUAUGUAUGAGGGCCAAAAGAUCAUUAGCUCUUUCACCUUUUCCUGUGAAUGGAGACUUUGUCAUCUUUCCAAUUAAACAAGAUCUGCAUGUCUCAUAUGAUUCAUAAUCAAAAGAGUCCAAGAGUCCAUCUUUAUGGAGUUUGGAAAUGCGUUUCUCAUUUAUGUGGCCUAAUCGACAAUGCCAAAGGUAAGUUGGAUUUAACUCAUUAGGUUUCAUCCUUUUAGUAUUAAUGUUAUAAAUAGGCAUUUCAAGAUCAAGGACAUAUAGUCCAUUGUUCAUUUGUGCAGUAGCAUAGAAUAUAUCAUUCAAAUAAAUUGAGCAACAAUUGUUCUUUAUUAUAAAUGAAAAACCAAACUUGUCCAAACAAGAAAUGGAAAUAAUAUUCUUGCUAAUUGCAGGUACAUAAUAACAGUUCUCUAACUGAAUUAUUAAACCACUAGGUAAAGUCAAUACAUAUAUUCCUACGGCUAAAGCAGUAACCUUUGCUCCAUUGCCAACUCGUAGGUCAACUUCACCUUUUGCCAAAUCUCUACUUCUUUUUAGCCCCUGCACAUUUGUACAAAUGUGAGAACCACAUCCAGUAUCUAAUACCUAUGAUGCAGAAGUAGAUAAAUUUAUUUCAAUAACAAAAAUACCUGAAGUUGAAGUCUCUACUCCAUUCUUCGUAUCUUCCAGGUACUUUGGGCAGUUUCUCUUCCAGUGUCCGGUUGGAAGCAGGUUCCUGCCUUUGCUAUGCCUCCACUAGGCUUCAAAGCAGCAACAGUGGGUCUGGGUUUGGCAACUUCCUUGCGUUUCCCUUUAUCACACUGCUUGAUGGGCCUUUUGUUCUGUCUCUUUCCAUUUCCGAUCAUCAGAAUGGACUUCCCUUUUGACUUCAGGUUCUGCUCAGCAGUUCUUAACAUGCCUAGCAGUUCAGGAAGCGAUUUGUCCAUGUCAUUCAUAUUGAAAUUUAGGACAAAUUGACUGAAUCUAUCUGGCAACGAUUGCAAGAUCAAAUCAGUCACAAGUUCCUUUCCGAGGGGAAAACCUAACCUUUCAAGGUUUUCCACAUACCCAAUCAUCUUGAGUACAUGGGGACUUACAGGAGCUCCCUCAGCUAACUUGCUUUGAAAAGGGGCUUUUGAAACUUCAAACCUUUCAUUCCUUGCUUGCUCUUGAUAGAGCGUCUUCAGGUGUUCGAUCAUAUCGAAUGCUUCCAUGUUCUCAUGUUGCUUUUGAAACUCUGAGUUCAUGGUAGCUAGCAUGAGACAAGCAGUUUCAUUGGCAUCAUCGACAUGCUUCUUAUAAGCAUCUCUUUCUGCCUUAGGUGCAGAACUAGGAGGUUCCUCUUCAGGAACAGGUUUCUCCAAGACAUACAACUUUCUAUCAUGUUUGAGGAUAAUCCUCAGAUUUCGGUGCCAAUCCAGAAAAUUUGUCCCAGACAAUUUUUCCUUGUCAAGGAUUGAUCGCAAGAUGUUGUUAGAGGUGUUUGCUGUCAUGGUUAUCUACAUAAGGAUUAAGAAAAUAUAAGUAUCAUUGACAUAUUUAAUUAGGCCUUUAUUCAAAUAUGCUCCCACUAUUUUACUCAAAACAAAUGACCCUCAUCAUUUGAUUCGGAAAAUCCCGUUGGAAGAUUUUCUAGUGGGUCGAGAUCCAUAUUUCACUUCGUUCUAAGUCCGCGUAGGCGGAUUACACAAAACUAGGUUAUUUAGGUAGGAACUCCUUCCAAUUGUAUCUAAUACAACUCUCGAAAAUUUCAGUUGGGUGAAUAACUCCUUAUUCCAAUCCAUCAUAUGGAUCAUUUCCAACUCUUGCUUCUAAACGUAUAUAAUCUUAUUAUAGUUUGUUUAGUUAAGUUUGGCCCAUUGUUUUAGCAGUUGAAUAUUACAAUUAUCCCAUCGCACCUUACUAAUAUAAAACAUGCACCUCGCGUAGGCGAAACCUACAUUAUCCGAUACUAGUCUUGAUGAGUGCUAAAACUUGGAAAGCAUAAACUUAAUAUUUUAAUUUGAGGGAAUUGCAAUUAUUCUGAUCUCACCUGCUUAUUUAUCAUAUAAAUCGUCUCUCACAUGCAAAAACAUACAUUCACAGGCAUCAACAUACAUACACAUGCAUCAACAUACAUAAUGAAACAGUUAUGGGCCCUAGCGCAAUUGUUCUCCCAAGCCAAUGAGAGAACCUAAGCUAACCUAAUAACGAUCUAAGCUUCUCCAAGCAAAACAUAAUGAAACAGUUAUGGGCCCUAGCGCAAUUGUUCUCCCAAGCCAAUGAGAGAACCUAAGCUAACCUAAUAACGAUCUAAGCUUCUCCAAGCAAGAUCUUCAAGGUUGUCCUCCUUUGAUAUUGAAUACUUCUCUUUCUUCAUAACAUUGUCCUCCUUUGAUAUUGAAUUCUUCUCUUUCUUCAUAACAUUACAUUACAGAAGAACUCGUUUUACAUACGAGAGAUUGAGAUGAGAAAAGAAGUUACAUUAAGAGAUUAAAAGGAGAGGCACAACACGCAAGUCGUAUUUUAAAACCCAAAACAAGAUAAAGGAUAACUAAGGCCAUAACUGAUCACCACAAGGCAAUAAUAAUAAACACAUUAUUAUUAUUAAUUUUAAUUCCUUUAAUUACUUAAAACCAAAUCAAAUUUCGACGACCGAUCACACUACGCAGAGUUAGCCGGGGGUCCGCUGCCCGGUCAGCGGCCGAAAAUUUUAAUGAACAAUUCAUUUGAAAUCGGCGUCCUUUUGCAUCGACACAACUCUUACGCAGUCACAAAACAGAAACCCCGAGAACUCUGACUCUGUGAGUGUGACGACCGUCACAAGCAUGUUACGACCGUCACAGGCCCAUGACGAACGUCACGCAGCCAAAAACAGAAACGCCUAGAAUUCUGGAUCUGUGAAUGUGACGACCGUCACAAAGCACGUGACGUCCGUCACGUCCAGCUUGUUACGAUCGUCACAAGUCCAUGACGAUCGUCACGCGGCCAAAAACCACCGCUUUGAAACAGUCAACAGAUGUGUUCCAACAAGCCCUUAAUUCACAACUUCUUGACGACACAACCCUUGCGCCGUCACUAACCCUAAUGCACCAAUUUCAGACCGUCAAACACACCUCGAUUGUUGAUUCAGUAUGAUUGAUCAACAGGUCAUUGCUUCACCAUACUAAUGUCGGAUACUAAUGUCGGAUUCCGAAGCAAAUGACCAUUGAUCGCUCAAAGGAAAACAACCAUUUAGUGUUUGAAUGAACGAAACAGAAACAGUAUAUCAUAUAUAUCAUAUUUUGCAUUAGGAUUACUUAUAUCGUAUAUAAGUUGAUCGGUCUCAAUUGCGUAACCUAUGGACAAUCGGUGUAUCGCUGCUUCACCAUACUAAUGUCAGUUCCGAAGCAUAGUCAACAUCAAUCAUCCAACUCGUACACUCAUGAUGCCAAAUUUAAUUACCCGUUUAAUUAAUUGAUUCAUUCUGUCUUUUAGUCAUAUUAAUAUAGAAAAUAAACAACUAUCUGAUUCAUGGUUUCGUAAGUGGCUCUGAUACCACUGAAGGAGAAUUGCGAUCCAAAACGCAGCGAAAAUUAAAAUUUUCUCCUUUAGAGAUCCUUAUGAAUGGUCAUGAUCAGUGAUAGAAUAUUUACCUCUUGUGACGAUUGAAACCUUUGGUGCAGAUCUCUUGUGACGAUCAAAACCUUUGAUGCAGAUCACGGAGCGAUUACGAACUGAACGAUGAAACCGUCUCAAUACUCCGCCACGAACUGGAUCAUCUAAUCUCAGUGCUCAGCUGUACGGAAUGCAAGGCUUUGAGUGGUGAAGAGCAAGAGAGAGAGAGAGAGAGAGAAAACGAAAAUAAUGCAACCGCAAUAGAUGCUUCUGCACCAAGUUCUAUUUAUAGAACCAUGGUGGGUGUCAGCUAAGAAGUCCACUUAAAGUAUUUUGGGCCCAUUACUUAAUGAGAUACCCAAAUCACUAUAAGCCCAUGGUCUCUACCUAUUUCGUAUUCUACUCAAGUACACCGUACCUUACGAUGUUCUACAACUCACUUAAGUGCACCGUACCUUACGGUGUUCCUUAGUUACUCUAUCUCUCAUCAAUCCGUCCUUUGUGUGUGACCCUUUAGGUUUUCGUGACAUUGGUAAUUAUAUUAAAUCAUGUAUUUAACAUAAUAAACAAUGAGCGGUAUCUAGCAACACAUCACUGUUACCCAAGACACGAAAAUGUCAUGUGAUCUGACAAUUCCUUCCGUGAUAAUACUUAUGUGUAUAAUUACCCUUUUGCCCUUAUGUCUAUAUUAAACACAAGGCAUAGAUCGUGUCAUCCUUGUCCAGUUCAAUAUUGGGCCCAUAGACAUUUCUCCUGUUACGCAGGAUGGGCAAAUUCCAUCUAGGUCACUCAUGUCCCUCAGCAUGCUUCGUGGAGUACCCAUCAACCGUCUUUAUGGUUAUCCAGUUACGGACAAUGUUUGAUCAGUAAUAAAGCACUCGACUCUACAUCCAGGGUCCAUAGUGGUUUCAGGUCGAAGAGUGGUAUACACCAUUAUCACCAUGAGAAUAACUUAUGACACUUUGCAUAACAUUCUAUAAGUAUUCUCAUAGCGGGUCAAUCCGGUAAUAAUAUUACUUCUAUAAUUCAUACAUAUGUUAGACUUGAUAACUCCUUAUCCAUGAUCAUGAGAUGUUGAUCAUCAGUCUAUAUACAUAAUAGUCUAAUGCUUAAUGUUAUCCCACUUCACAAUAAAGCUUGACUAUGGAUAUUUUAAGAAUAAUGUCUUAUGUUUAUGUAUCUCAUGAUUAAGUCAUACUUGAUACAUAAACAGACUAGCUAUUCUAGGGACUUUAUUAAACAAACAUAAUAAAGAAAAAGCCUUUUAUUAUUAAUAAAUAAUUCGAUACAAGUACCAAAAGUAUUGGCCUCUAGGGCUUACACCAACAUGUUCAACAUAUAAUUCUUCAUUUAAGUACCCAUUCAAGAAGGCAUUUUUCACAUCCAUCUGGAAUAACUUGAAUUUUAGCAUACAUGCCAUUCCCAAGAGCAAUCUUAUAGAUUCAAGACGAGCAACAGAUGCAAAAGUCUCAUCAAAAUCAACCCCUUCAAUUUGAGUGUAUCCUUGAGCAACAAGCCUAGCCUUGUUUCUGGUCAUAAUUCCAUUUUCAUCAGAUUUGUUCUUGUAAAUCCAUUUUGUGCCAAUAACAUUCAUCCAUUCAGGCCAAGGAACUAGGUCCCAUACUUUAUCCCUUUUGAAUUGUCCUAAUUCUUCUUGCAUAUCAUUGAUCUGUAAUUUAAUAAUCAAGGCCUCCUUCACAUUUUUAGGUUUAAACUCUGAGACAAAGCAAACAUUGGAUAUCACAUCUCUAGAUCCAAUGGUGAUCCCUUCAUUAAGAUUUCCAAUGAUAAGUUCCUUUGGAUGAUCUUUCUGAAUUCUAAUAGAGGGACCUUUAUUGGCUUGAGGGUUAUCUAAUUCAGUCCUUGCUGGCUCAAUGUUGGACUCAAUGUCUUCCAUAUUUUUUGAAGCAUCAGUCUGCUGAGAUGAUGUUCCAACAUCUUCAUCGACAUCAGUCCCUUUCAUAAUAAUUGAAUCAUCAACCACAACAUUAAUGGAUUCCAUCACAACCUUGGUUCUGGAUUUAAAUACCUUGUAAGCUCUAUUAUUUGUAUAGUAACCAAGAAAUAUCCCUUCAUUACUUUUGGGAUCCAUCUUUCUCCUCUGUUCAUGAACAACCAGAAUGUAGCAUUUACUCCUAAGCACAUGAAAAUGUUUAACAAUAGGUUUCCUUCCUUUCCAUAAUUCAUAGAGAGUACAUGAUAUACCAUCUCUCAUAGUAACACGAUUGUGGAUAUAGCAAGCAGUGUUAAUUGCUUCAGCCCAAAAAUGAUAAGGAAGAUUUUUUGGAUGAAGCAUGACUCUAGCCGAUUCUUGUAAUGUUCUGUUCUUAUGUUUUAUAACUCCAUUUUGCUGAGGAGUGAUGGGAGAUGAUAACUCAUGACCAAUACCUUCAGAAGAAAAAAAUUCAUAGAAUUUUUCAUUUUCAAAUUCCUUCCCAUUGUCACUCCUGAUUCUAACAAUCACACUUUCCUUUUCUCUUUGAAGACGUUAACAAAGGCCUUUGAAUACCUCAAAAGUGUCUGAUUUUUCUUUGAUACAAUUCACCCAAGUAAACCUUGAAAAAUCAUCAACAACCACAUAUACAUUCCUCUUUCCACAAAUACUUUCAACUUGCAUAUGCCCCAUUAAGUCCAUAUGAAGAAGUUAUAGAGCUCUGGAAGUAGUCUGAUGUUGCAACUUCGGGUGUGACAUCUUGGUUUGCUUCCCAAUUUGACACUCACCACAAACUUUACCCUCCUUAAUUUUUAGUUUUGGUAGACCUCUAAUAUCUUCUUCAGACAUAAUCUUCUUCAUACCUUUGAGAUUCAUAUGUCCAAGCUUCUGGUGCCACAACCUGACUUCAUCUUCCCUAAACAUCAAACAUGUGGAAGAAUAAGUAGUUUCUUGUGGUACCCAUAAAUAGAAGUUGUCUUUAGACAUAACCCCCUCAUCAGAACUUCAUUCUUCUCAUUGGCAACCAAACAUUCUGACUUGGUAAAAUUGAACUUUAGACCUUGAUCACAUAACUGACUAAUGCUGAUCAGAUUAGAAGUCAAUCCUUUUAUAAGAAGAACAUCAUAAAGUCUAGGAAGUCCAGUAUACAGUAACUUUCCUAUCCCUUUAAUUUCACCUUUACCUUCAUCACCAAAAGUGACAAAACUGGUGGAAUAAGACUUAAUAUCCACUAAAUACUUCUUGACACCUAUCAUAUGUCUAGAAUAUCCACUGUCAAAGUACCAGUCUUCUCUAGGUUAAGCUCGAAAAGUAGAAUGGGCUAUAACACAAGUAUCAACAACCAUAUGUUUCCAUUCAUUUCUAGUUUUAAUCAUCACAUGAUCACCCCUAGGAUAUGUUGGAUGUUUUGGAUAACCAUACAGUCUAUAACAUAAAGGCUUUAUAUGUCCAUAUUUACCACAGUAAUGAUAUUCCAAGGCAAAAACUUGACUUUAGUUUGGGUUUCCUGAUGUCUCAUAGGAUGUUGUAACAUUUGGUCGAACAUCAUGGGUUUUUUACUUUCAGAGAUUGGUAAUCAAAACCUAUACCUUUUAAGUUUCCAGCCCCUUUUCCAACUUGAAGAAUUUCAUCUAACAUAUCAGAUCCAUUGUUCAACAUUCUUACUGAUUUGGUCAUGUUUUCAAGUUUAGAAUUCAAAAGGGUUACCUUAUUUUCAAGAUCAGUGAAAGUAUAUGAAAGUUUAUCUUUUUCAGCCUGUAGUUGAGUUAUGAUUCUCUUCUACUUUUCUCCUAUCUUCCAAACCUCUUCGAUUCUGACAGAAGGCUCUUUGUAGGAAGCAUACAAUUCUUCAUAAGAGACAUCCUUAUCACAUAAAUCUUAAUCAUAUUCAUAUAUACCAGUGAAAGUUGUAACAUGCUUAGAAGUUUCAUCAUCAGUUUCACCUUCAGAAUCAUUAGACCAAGAAACAGACAAACCCUUCUUUUAUUUCUUGAGAUACAUGGGACAUUCUGAUCUAAUGUGACCAAAACCCUCACAUUCAUGACACAAAAUACCUUUUCCUUAAUUGGGAUUUUCCUAUGUUCUUGCUUUUCUCUGAGAAUCGUUGUUCUUACUGAUGUCGAAUGACAUGUUCUUGACAUAAAUAUUAACUUCCUAUCUAUUUUCUUCAACACCUUAUUGAAUUUCCUCCCAAGAAGCAGAACGUCAUUGGAAAUUCCUUCAUCAAUAUCCAAGUCACAUUGAUCCUCUUCAUCCUCAGUGUUGGAGAUAAAAGUUAUGCUCUUGUUCUUCUUUUCAGAUCUAUCAUUGAUAGCCAAUUUAAAAGUUUGAAGUGACCCAAUAAGCUCAUCCACUUUCAUGUUGCAAAUGUCUUGUGUUUCUUAAAUAGAUUUGACCUUCACGUCAAACAUCUUAGACAAAGACCUGAAGAUUUUUCUAACAAGUUUAUCCUCUGACAUCUUCUCUCCCAAGGCACUAGAUGAAUUGGCAAUAUCAAGAAUAUUCAUGUGAAAAUCAUGAAUACACUCAUCAUCUUUCAUCCUGCGAUUCUCAAAUUUGGUGGUGAGAAGUUGAAGUUUUGAGAUUUUUACUUUUAAUGUGCCUUCAUGAGUGGUUCUGAGGAUUUCCCAUGCAUUUUUUCCAUAGUACAAGUAUUUAUUAACCUGAAUAUAUUUUUUUCAACUCCAUUGAAUAAGGCAUUCAAGGCGAUGAAGUUUCCAAGAGCAAGUUCAUCUUUGUCCUUAGACCAGUCCUCUUCAGGCUUCAAAUUAGUUGUAUCAUUCCCAUCUUUGUCUUGCACCACAUGAUGUUCUCAACCUUUGAUAAUUGCUUUCCCGGUUAUGUUAUCCAUAAAUUUUAGAAAUGCCAUCAUAUGUGCCUUCCAGUAAUCAUAGUUGAUACCAUCCAGAAUAGGUGGUAUGUUGAUAAAUCCUCCUUCCUUGUCCAUAGUACUAGAAAUUAUCUCCCUAGAGCUCACCCAAAAUAGAACAGGGUGCCUGCUCUGAUGCCAAUUGAAAUUCGGGUACACAGAUAACAGAUGUCGUAUACAAUGUCACAACACUAGGAUUAAGACAUGUCACACCAGAAACAAGUAUGCAAAUAAUAGAUGUCGUAUACGAUGUCACCACACCAGGAUUAUGACAUGUCACACCAGAAACAAUUAUAGUGUUAAAGUAAAUACCAGGAAGUAAAUAACACAAAUCAAUUGUUAACCUAGUUUGGUGCAACAUCACCUACAUCUGGGGGCAUCCAAGCCAGUAAGUAAACCCACUAUAAUAGUAUUAGUUUGAAGUUCUAAACAACCUCUGAUUUUACAAACUUCUCAUCUAAUCACUACCGUUGGAAUUUUUAUCUAAGACUCUCCUAGAUAUUAGACCCUUCUCAUUUACCUUUAAUCACACAACAGUGAUAACAACUUCUAACAAUAAACAGAAUACACACCUACAAUGAAACAAAAUCCACUAUUGCUUAAAAUCUCAUGAGUGAUUCACAAUUAUAACUCAAAAAACUUUGUCCAAUUCAAUCAUCUAAGUGAUACAAGAAUGGCUCACAAAUAAUAAUGAACAAACUAAACCCUAACAUAGACUAUUACAUACGCAACUUAGUUAUUUUCUUAGGUUUAGAAUCAUCCUUUAAAUAGACCUAGAAUAGUAUGGGCUUCGGGCUAAAAAAUCAACAUAUCCAUAACAAAUAAAAUCACAUCAAAUCUGAUCAACUUAAAUAUGAUGUAUCCUUAAAUGUUUUGACAUCCAUUCUGCACAAUCUUCUGCAGAAUUAAAUCAAAUCUAAUGUUUUCUUAAAUGUUUUGACAUCCGUUCUGCAUAAUCUUCUGCAGAAUCAAAUCAAAUAUAAUAUUUCCUUAAAUGUUUUGACACUAAUACUUAGGAAACAUUGCACAGCUAGAACCGGUCUUUAAGCUUCUAAAAAAGCCCUUUGAACCGCAUAAUGCGUGAAAUAAAUCAUCAAAGAAUCUUCACUAAUCUCAUGCUAAAAAACAAAUCUUCCAAGAAUGUAAAACCACAACACGCCAUGAUGUCGUACAAGCAUGUCAAGACAUCUUGUCCAACAUCUUUCUAUUUCACUUGUUUCAACAAAAUGCUGCAAAUCACAAAACAGACAACCUAACAUUAUGUAUCUUUUCCAUUGCAUGAAAAAUGCAUUUAUGCUUUCAUGUCCUUUUGUUUAUUGAAUUCUUAUGUUGCAACCUUUUAUGACAAUUGUGAAUUGAAUAUUAUAUUGCUAUACUUGGUUGUGUGUUUAUGAUUUAGUUGUAUUUUUCAAUUAAGACAUAAUUUCAUGUGAGUGUUUGUCUUAAUUGAUUCAUUUAAUCUUUGCAACGCCUUUGAGUAUGUUUAAUUCUAUAUGUUGUUGUGUAAUGAUUCAUGAUGCUUCUCACGUUUUUCUGUCUUUAUCUCUUUUUGAUGUUGUCAAAAGGGGGGAAACACAAGGUUUAUGAUGCACAUAUUCAGGGGGAACUUUGCAAAAGACAACAAGAGUUCCUAGUAUAUUUUUCCAUCAUCAAACAGAGGGAUUAUGUGAGUGUAAUAUUCUCUUAGAUAGUAUUUUGAAUGAUGUCAAAACUUGGUAGGUUAGAUCUUUGUGUAUUUGGACUUUACAAUCUUAAAUGUGCAUCAUCGUCAUAGUAAAACAUGUAAGACUAGAUUACAUAAGUCAUCACAUGCUAAAAUAUGAGUUUUUCACAAAAGACAUGCAUGGGUCGAUACAUGUUGAGUAUGGGUUGAUACACACUGAGUGGAUUUUCAAAGAAUUCAAAACUACCUCAAAUGGGUCGAUAUAAAGGAUAAAUGGGUUGAUACAUCCUAUGAAUGGUUCGACUCGUUCUUGUUUGGGUCGACUCAAUCUGAAAGAUGUUUUUCAAAGAUUUGUCGCUGCUUCUAAUGGGUCGAUACAAAGGAGAAAUGGGUCGAUACAUUGAGCGAAUGAGUCAACUCUCCCGUGUUUGGAGUAGACUCAUCCUGAAACUUUUUCUUUACAAAUUGUCUACUGCCUCUAAUGUAUUAACUCUAUUUGAUUUCGUAUUGGCUCAUUCAGCUGAUGUAUUGACUCAUUUCAUUUUAGAGUCAAUACAUUUUGUACCAAAUUUUAAAAUUGCAUUUUGGCUAAAAAAAUGUUUUACUCAUUUCUUUUCUACACUCACACAUACAUAUAAAUACGCAUUCAUGCAUCAUUUUUAAGUAAUUGAAACCUGAAAGACACAAAGAAUUUUCAUCAUCUUUAACCUCUCUUGACGCAUUCAUCAACUACACAUAAUCAUUUAUGAUUGUUUGUUGGGAAGAAAAUUUUGAUAAUGUCUAAUUUAGGUUUGUGUAAUCAAAUUGGGUUGAGGUUUUCUUUGCGGGUUUCGAGGAUAAAAUCGUUAGGGUUUUUACUCCAAGAUCAAGGGUUAAUUUGGAGUUUUUUGCACAACCCUUGUUAACUUAGAUUCAGCGAAGCGAAGGCUCUGAAGAACGGGGGUUCUUGUAAAGGAGUAACGGUAACCAGAGGUUAAAAUGAAAGGCUUGGGACAAGAUUUUGCAAUUUGGAUUCAGCUGAAUGAAAGCUUUGAAGAACAUAAUGUUCAGUCAAAAGAGUAAUGGUAACUGAAGGAUCAUAUUGGAGAUCUUAUAUGACUUGAUCUUGCUAAGAUCAAGGAUAGAGAAUGAGCUAUGAUUAACAUUAAACAUAGGGUUUAGGGUUUGAAUUUCUACUACUUCUCUUGUAAAUUGAUAUUGCUAAGGUUAAUUACAAUAUCUCUAUUCAAUUUUGAAUUGAGGACAGACGUGCCCAUAGUGAUGACAAUUUGGGAACUGCCUAAACAAAUCUUGAUGUUCUCUCUCUCUCUCAAAUUUAUUUUUAGAUUUUGAUCAUACUUAGUGUGUAGUUUGAAUUUAUGGAAAUUUUGGAUGUGUUGAAGUGUUUAAAACUAUUUGUGUAAAACGAUUGAAAUCUAAACCAUUGAAAUUAAUUUAUUGUAACUUAAACACAAAGAGAAUCAAGCUUGGUGUAUUGCACACCAAGUGUUUGACAAAAUUACUCUGUCAAGUUUAUUUUUACUUCUCAUUGGAAAUAAUUUAUGUUAAGUGGGGUUUAUAUUGAAACAAACUAUAUUGAACUUUUGGAUUGGAUUUUGUCAUCUUUAGCAUACUUUAUAUUAUAGUUUGUACGCAUAUCUUUCCACCAAUAACGGUUCUGAUAGACGAGAUUCGAUCCAAAUUCGUUUUCACUUGCCAUAGAAAAAUAACUUUCAAAAUAAAAUUUUAAGAAGAAAAAAUUCAUUAGGCAAUCUAUUCAACCCCCACCCCUUUUAGAUCGUUACCUCUUCUAACAUCUCCCUUUGACGCUUCUGAAUGUUUAUGUUCUUCGAUAGGGUUAUUUACCAUUCUCUCUCUCUCUGAUGCUUUUGAAUGUUUAUGUUCUUCUCUAGGGUUGUUGAUUUAUUUUUUUAAUAGAUAAAUGAUAUUAGGAUGUUGUGUGUAUUCACAUUGUCAUGUGUAUUGUUCAUGUUACAAUGUUCAUGUUUUAUUCAGAUUUUGUGAAUAUGCUUUAGGUUAUGGUGUUGGAUAUGCAUAUGCAUAUAAUCAUAUUAGGAUGUUGUGUGUCUAGUAUUAAUGUUCCAUUCAAAUUUGUCUUUUGAUAUAAAUUUCAGAAUUUGUUAUGGAUCGUAGUUGGAUGAAAGUUGAUAUAUUAGGUCCGAUGUAUGAGAAAUAAGUUAUUGAAUUCCUUGAAUUUGCCAAAAAAAAAAGUUCUUGACAAUAAUGGCAUCUUUUAUUGUUCUUGUGUUGUUUGCGGGAAUAUAAAAAAACGGUCAAAGAAAGAAAUAUUACAUCACAUAUGUUAUGAUGGAAUAUGUCAAAAUUAUACAACAUGGAUGUAGCAUGGAGAAGUGGAUAAUAAUCGAAAUACAAUGUCACAAAUGGAUGAAGAUGAUGAAGAUAUGGAUCAUCGACUAAAAGAUACGAUCUGUGAUAUUGGAGAAUCAUAUUAUAUGAAAGCCCAUAUUUAUGAUACUUUAUGUAGCAACAAAGAUGCACUUUUAUAUAAGGGAUGCACCCAUUUUAUAUGAUUGUCUGUGUUGUUAAAAUUGUUUAAUCUGAAGACAAAAGGUGGGUGGUCGGAUAAAAGUUUCACAAAAUUGCUUGAUUUGUUUAAACAAAUGCUACCAGAAGAUAAGAAUUUGUCGGAUUAUUAUUACGAGGCCAAGAAGACAUUGUGUACAAUGGGUUUUGAGUAUGUCAAAAUACAUGCAUGCCCUAAUGAUUGCAUACUAUACAUGAAGUAUUAUGAAAAUUUGGAUCAAUGUCCAAAAUGUAGUGAGUCGCACCACAAGUUGAAGAACAAUAAUGGUGAUGACAAUGACAUUGUUAGUAAGAAGUGUCCUCUUGCUAAAGUGUUAUGGUACUUUCCAAUAAUUUUAAGAUUAAAGAUACUUCUUGAUAAUGAGAAUGACACAAAGAAUAGUAUAUGGCAUCCAGAUGAAAUAAAAUAUGAUGAAAAAAUUUGCCAUGUAGUUGAUUCUUUGCAAUGGAAGAUAAUUGAUUCAUUGUUUCUGGAUUUUGGCAUUGAGCCAAGAAACCUUAGGCUUGGGCUUGCCAUAAAUGGAAUGAACCCCUUUAGUAAUCUGAGUACUAACCAUUCUUCGUGGCCUAUUCUUCUCACGAUUUACAACCUAUAUCAUUGGAUGUGCAUGUAUAUGAUGUUAAGUAUGAUUUAUGGACCAAGACAACCUGGAAACGGCAUAGAUGUUUAUAUAAGUCCAUUAAUUGAGGAUUUGAAACUUUUAUAGGAUAAAGGUGUUGACAUUGAUGAUGCAUAUUCUGGUGAAAAGUUUAAGAUGCGUGAAAUGUUAUUUUGAACAAUCAACGAAUUUCCUACAUAUGGUAAUUUGGUUGGAUAUAGUGUCAAAGGACAUAAAGCAUGUCCUAUAUGUGAAUCUGAUACCUAUUUUCAUCAGCUUGAGUUUGGAAAAAAGACAGUUUACCUUGGGCAUUGGAAAUUUCUAAAACUCAAUCAUCCUUAUCUUAAAUUAUGGAAGGUUUUUAAUGGAGAACAUGAGUUUGAGAGCGCUCAUAAACCUUUAACUAGCGAUGAAGUUUAUCAACGACAAGAACACCUUACUAUUUUCUUUGGAAAGAAUAAAGAUGGUCAUGCUGAGAGAAAUAUUUGGAAAAAGAGAUAGGUGUUUUUUGAUAUUCCAUAUUGGUCUAGACUCGAUGUAAGAUAUUGUCUUAAUGUGAUGCAUGUGGAGAAAAAUGUGUGUGAUAGUUUGAUAGGAACACUUCUAAACAUUCCAGGAAAGAGUAAAGAUAAUAAGAAUUCCCGUUUAGAUAUUGUGGAGAUGGGUAUAUGAAAAUAGUUGGCUCCAGAAGAUAAAGGAAAAAGUUCUUAUUUGCCUCCGACAUGUCACACUCUAUCUAAAAAAAGAAAAGAAAAGUUUUUGCGAGUGUUGGCAUGGUAUCAAAGUUUCCCAAGCCUAAUCAUCAAACAUCAAGAAACUUGUAUCAUUGAAAAAUAUCAAGUUAAAUGGCUUAAAAUCUCAUGAUUUCCAUGUCUUGAUGCAACAACUUCUACCAAUGGCUAUCUGUGGUAUCCUUCCAAAAAUUGUAAGAGUAACUAUAAUUAGAUUGUACUUAUUCUUCAAUGCCAUAUGUAAUAAAGUUAUUGAUUUCAAAAAAUUAGAUGAAUUAGAAGAUGAGACCACAAUAAUAUUGUGUCAAUUGGAGAUGUAUUUUCCUCCAUCAUUUUUUGACAUUAUUGUUCACUUACUUGUUCAUCUAGUCAGAUAAAUCAGAUUUUAUGGUCCAAUUUAUUUAAGGUGGAUGUAUCUUAUAGAGCGAUAUAAAAAAAUAUUUAAAUGAUAUACUAAGAAUCAUCACCGACCAAAAGCUUUGAUCGUUGAAAGGUACAUCACAAAAAAAUCUCUUGAAUUUUAUUCAAACUAUUUAUCGAAAGAAUAGUCUAUUGGAAUUCCAAAGUCUCGUCAUGCUGACAAAUUUGAAGGUAGAUGUACUCAAGGUUUAAAUAUUAAGUCAAUGGAUGAGAUGUAGUAAUUGAAGCACAUUUAUAUAUAUUGAAUAAUCUUAGUGUAGUUGGACCUUAUAUAACUAUUCACAAAACAAUUAUAAAGAAAAAGUAUCCUCGAAUGAAUGACAAGUGGUUGUUGACGUGACAUAACAAGGAAUUUAUAAGUUGGUUUAAUAAGAGGAUUUCUAAUGAUGAUGGUCCAUCCUAGACAAUUUAAUGUUUGUCAUACAUGCCAAAAUUUAUUGUGAUAACUUGAACGACAUAUGACAUUUCUAAUUUCCUUUUAUAUAAAAGCAAAAGAUGAUCAAAGUACAAGACAAAAUUGUAAGGGUAUGGUUGAGGUUGAAUCCAUGUAUUUCUCUAGUUCGCAAGAUAAGAAUCAUAUUUUAGCAACCACCGCGUUCUAUGGUGUCAUUGAGAAGAUUCUAGAGAUUGAUUAUGUUAUUUUCAACGUGCCUUUAUUUAAAUGCAAGUGGGUUCCCAAUAACAAUGGUGUACAAAUUGACGAGUUAGGAUUCACACGAAUUGACCUUGGCAAGACAACUUAUAACAACAGACUAUUUAUCAUGGCUAUUCAAGCAAAACAAGUUUUUUAUGUGACAGACUCUGCAGACUUAUCAAAGAGAUGGUCAAUUAUUCUCAAAGGAAAACAUAUUUCUCAUAGUGAUGGUGCAAGUUUUGAUAUUUCUUCCACUCCUUCUUAUGCAACACAAAUGCCUACUUUAUAUGAAGAAGUUGAUAGAGAUGAUCUACAUGUUAUUUGUAACGAUCAUCAAGAAGGCAUAUGGGAAAAUUAACAAGUAUUUUAUAUUCUUCAUUCAUAAUUUAUUGUAUGUUAUAAUUUCUAAUGAUAUUAUUUUCUAACAACUAUAUUAUUUGAAUAUAGGUAUUUAAAGUCAAGACACAAAGACAACAAGGUAAUAUUAUUUGAUAUAAUGAUGUGUACAUGGUAGGUUAUUUUGUGUCAUUUUGGCUUUGAUGUAAUAUACAAUUUUUGGUUCCUAAUGGAAUUGUGUCAUUGGUGUAAUACAAAAUUUGGUCUAAUUCAAUUCACAAUUGGGUGUAUUCUUGUUUCUGGUCUGAUACGAUUCAAAAUAUUAAGGUUAAAAAUUUGAGAAUACUGUAAAAUUGAAAAAUAUAUACUAAAUAAAUAAAUAAUAUCACAAUGGUUUUUAAUUCAACCGUUGUUAUAAGUAGAGCACUAUGCAUAAUAAUAUAAUGCAAAAAUGACGUUGUUGGGAUUUGAACCCAAAACCUAUAAAUUAUUUCACAACGGUUGUCUUCUUUAUCCAUUAUUGUAAGUAGCAUGCUACCUAACUUAUAACCACAAUCACUCGCUCGUUGUGAAAACCAACAUACAUACAAUCACACACUACCUAACAAUAGACGUGAAAUUGUCAUUGUAUGUGUUUCACAACUGUCAUUAUAUGUGUUUUCUAUAAUAAUGCUUUUUUGAUUUAUUGCAUAAGUUACAUGUAGCAUCCAUAUUAUAAAUUUUGAAAAAAAUCGCACUGCAUGUCUUCGGAUUUUAUAAACCAAACAAACAUAUUGACAUGUAUUUAGAUUUCAUAAUAUGAAUAUUAUUAGAAUGUGUGUUGAUUGGUGUAAAUUUUGUUGAUUAGUAGUUUAUGUAUACUCUCUUCAAUCUCAUAACCAACAAAAUAAAAUUCAAUGUUGUUAAAUAUAAGUAAAAUCUUCUCUCAUUAUUACAUUCAAUUUUACUAUUCCAAAUAUUACUACUCUUUAUUUUUAUUUUUAUAGCCUCGUGUUUUUCAAGUUUCCAAAAUAAAAAGUAAUGGUAAAAAUAGAAAUAGUGUAUGGCUUAAAUGUAUUUAGAUGACUUCUUUAAAGAUUUUGUAAAUUUGCUUAUAUAUAAGAUUAGAUGUAGUAUUUGUCAAUUUUCAAUAAUGGAUAAGAAUAGUAUGCUGAACUCGUGCAAGGAAUAAAACAGACUUAACCACUGUCUCUACCCGACUUGAGCAUCAAUGUAAAAUUUGAGCAAAUAUAAUUGGAUUUGCAAACUACAACCUCAUCCUCGUGAGAUUGAGGUGGAGGUUGAAGUUUUGGAGGAGAGUGAAAGUUCUAAUUAUUCUUUUUUUUUUAAUUUCAAGAUGGGAAACUGAAAUAUAUAAGUAACGACAAAAAAUUCAUAAAAUUAACUACUCCAAAUAAACAAUUUUUCAUAAAUGUCAUUCGAGACAAUAAUCUAUAUGACCUUGACACCAUAGGUUUUAGCGUAGAUGAUCAUUGCUUGGUGAAAAUUUUGGAUCUAUAUGCUUGCAGGCAUAAAGUUAAUAGUUCUAUCGACAAACCUCAAAAGUAUUUUGAUGACGACAACACUAAUAAUUCCUAAAAUCGGUGGUAACAUCUUUCCAACUCCUUUAUGAUGGUGAUUAACUUGAAGAUACCUCAAGCCUCAUCAGGACGGAGACUCAAGGUUCCAUUAAAGUUUUUAUAUGAUCAAUGUAUCUGGCGAAGGAAUUUAAAAUCUUUAGAAUUAUGAAAGAAAGAAAGUGUGAAAGCUAGCCUAAUCGUAUCUGUUUGAGUAACCAGAGUCUUCUGAAAGUAAGAGAGUAUCUCCUAAGAUACUUAGGAAACACACAGAUAUGCACACACACACACAUGCACAUACACAUACACUUUCUCUCUCUCUCACACUCUUUUUUUUUAUCUCUCUCUCUCUCUCUCACACUCUCUCUCUCUCUCUCUCUCUCUCUCUCUCUGAGAAAGAGAGAGAGAGAGAGUCUCUCUCUCUCUCUCACACACACACACACACACACUCAUUUUAACUAUCAAAAUACCUAAAAAUGUUUUCAAGCCUUAGCCAAUUGAUUAGGAAAUUGUCAACUUCAUUAAAAGCAACUUUUGAACUAUCUAAUCGAUUAUAUCCUAAAGCUAAUCGGUUAGAAGAAGCGAAAUCAAUUAUAUAAUUAAUUAUGGUAGCGUAUUAAUGAUUAGUAACGACUCUAUAUCUAAACAUUCCAAAAUGGGCUAAAAUAAUCUAUUAUUUUUUUGUAUCUAAUCGAUUGGGCUUAUGGCCUAAUUAAUUAGAUUAGUUAAUUGGCUCAUGGAUUAUUUCCUUUUUAGCCAAUUAUUCUCUCUCCUCUUUAUUUCACACAAGAAUUCCAAAUUUCUCUAGUUCUUUGGAAUUUAUCUCUCUUUGUUGUCUCUCUAAAUAUUUUCUUUCACCAAAGUUACCUUAGUGCAUUGUGAGUGAAAACUAUCUGUGAGGAAUAAUUUAUACUAGUGUCGUUCCAUUGUUAUUACUCUCAAGAGUGAGAUAUUCUUGAGAAAUCGAGUUUAGUUAUUGAGAUUAACCAUUCUAAAAAUCUUUGUUUGGUUCUAGGACUUAGCCUGGAAAAUUUUAGUUUGGUUAUUGAGAUUAGCAUGGAAAAAUCUAAUUAGCUCGUUAGUUCAACUUGUGAAAAGACUUUCUUUUUGUUAGGGAUAAGUCACUGUAAAGUCUCUAGAUCUGUUUGUAUCAAAGGUUUGUGGAUAUAACCUGUAAAAGUUCAAGUUUAUGGUCAAAAUCUUAAGAAGAUCUCAUGGGGAUAAAAGUCGGUUAACUUUCGACCAAACCUGGAUAAAUCAUUGGUGUAAUCUCUCUAACCCUUAUCUUUUAUUUUUGUCCUUUAUUAUAUUAACUUUAAUUUUUGUUGCUUUUCACUAUAAUCUUAAUAUUAACGUAAUUUGACUUUUAAGUAACAAAAACUUAAGUUUAAUUACGAAUUUUUAAUACCACAAUUCACCUCACUCUUGUGCUUGAAGUCACUUGUUCAACAAGUGACAUCAGAUCCUAACUCAUAUUAAAGACUAAUCAUCCCAUGAGGAAAAACAACUUCAAUCUAUUCACUAAAUAAACCACCAUCCUUUAAUGGAUAAGGGUAUAUUUAUUGAAAAUGUAAAAUGGAGUUUUCCAUAUAAGAGAUGGAUUGUGGUAUUUAAAAAGUUGUGAAGGAAAGUUUAUGUUCAUACACAUCAUACUGAUGGUGUUGUAGUGAACAAAACUGGAAAUAAUUGGACCAAAGAUGAUAAAGAAAAUGUGUAGUGCAGUUUGAAAGCAAAAAUGGUCAUCACCGCCACUCUUGGUCUUGAUAAAAGCAAUGUGGGACAUCCUCCAAAUUACCCAUGAAGUAACUAUUUGUGUAAAGAGGGCAAGGUUGGGAUCAUUAACCUAUUAGUAUAAAAUUUUCAAGAUGAAACCUAAAGAGAACAUAAAUUAGAUGCAAACACGAUUUACACAUAUCAUGAGCCACAUGAGAACUCUAGGAAAAACAUUUUCAAAUGAAGAACUAGUUGUGAAAACUCUUAGAUGUUUAAACUGUAACUAGAAACCUACAUUGACUAUGAUUUGAGUAUCUAGGGAUCUAGAAAUUAUAGAUACACACACAUACAUACUCUGUUUGAGAAAUUACAAGAACACGAAAUAUAAUUAAACAGGCUUGCCAUAGAUGAGGAAGGAGAAAAGAAAAGCAAAAGUCUAACACUCAAAUUCGAAUAGUCCAACUCAGAUGGUGACAUGUAUCUUAUAGUAAAGAACUUAAAAAUAUUUCUAAAUCAUGAGAAACAACAAAAAUAGGAAGAUGAGGAAAAAAUUUCAUUUAUCCCCACUUGCUACAAGUGUGGAAAGAAAGGGCACAUUAGGCCAAAUUAUCCCUUAGCUAAAAGACAAAUAAAAAGAAAUCUAAGAAACUUUAGAAAAAGGCCAAGAAAGCUUACAUAGUAUGAGAACAUAACAAUAUGAAAUCCUUAGACAAUGAAGAGGAAAACUAACAUCUAUCUCAUGGAAAAUCAUCAAGAUGAUGAGGUAACUUCUUAUUUUUCCUAUCACGAUCUUUUUUGCAUUUGUAAGAAACUAACAAAAGAACCAAGAAAACUGAAACAAAUUGUGUGUAUCGAAGGAUAUUAUUUCUUCUCUUGAACUUAAAAAUAAAAAACCUUGAGAAAGAAAAUAAAUCCUUAGAGAAAUAUAAAAUGAUACAGUUCAAAACUUUUCCACUUUAAACGAAGAGGAUGAAUCUGAUAAGUGCAACAAAGGUGAUACUUUGAAAAAUGAAAUUUGCGAUUUUCAAAAGUCAUUUGUUAAGUUCACCAAAGGAAGAGAUAACUUGAAUCUUCAGUUGGGAAAUCAAAAAGUUUCUUACAAUAAAGUUGGUCUCGGUUAUGAACCCAAAAAUGAUAGUAGAACUUUAGUAACAUUUGUAUUGCUAAAUCCACCUCUCAUUGCAAAACCUUAAAAUACAACUAUUGUAACAAAGGUCAUAUGGCAUGUUCUGUUUUAUUAAUAAAUUUACGAGAGAAAAGAAGGACAUCCUCCUUCAUACUUUUAUAAAAAAAACAUUGUGAGCGCAAAAUAAAGAUUUCACUUGCUCUAUUAAAUGUUUAUGUCUCUAGUAUAAAGACAAAUGAAAAGAAUAUUUAUACAACUAACAAUAAAGGACCCAAGAUGACAUGGGUACCUAAAUUUAAGACCUAGGCUUUUAUUGCAGGAGUGCUUUACAGUCUUGAUUUUUAAGUAACAAAAACUUGAAUUAAAUUGCGAACUUUGAAUAGUACAAUUCACCCCCCUCUUAUGCUUGAAGUUACUUUUUCAACAACAACCUUUUUUAGAGAGGUGGCACGAGGAGACAUCAACUUGUAUAUCCCGAUUAAGGAGAUGAAAGUGAAACUAGAUGAAAUCUCAUGUUUUCUGCAUCUGCUACUCAAGAGUCGUAUUCUUGACUACACCAUAGUUACAAAGCAUAAAUAUUAUCUAAUGGUUGAUCUUCUCGAAGUAGAACCACAUAACAUUGAACAAUAAUUUUAUGAGGGCCCUGGAGGUAAUGCAUGGUUCAAAUUCCUGAAGGGUUAUUUAUGAAACACCUUGAAACUACAGGGGCUAGUGACUAGGCCGAUGAAGGUGUUAAGAAAUAGUUGUACAAGCAGUACAAGACUAGGAUAUAUCUCCCUUACUUGAUGGACUCAACCAUUUUCACAAAAAAAGGCCAGUUAUAGUCACAUGAUGUAUUUAGAGCAUUUCAUGGAUCUAUACAUGAUCACUGGCUAUACUAGAGGCACUGUUACAUUGCCUUACUUGUAUAGGGAGAGCUGGAUGUUGUGACCAAGUUUAAGAUGAUACAAUUAGUAAUAUAUAUGACAUUAUUUCAAGUAAAAUAUUCAUGUAGUUAUUUAAUUAGUUGUUAAAAGUAUUUUCUUCAAUAUUAUUUACUAAUUAGUAUACAUUGUUGCAUGCAUGAAUCUAUCAAUAUUUCCCCAAUAUUGACAAACAAAGAGUAUGACAAGACGGUGCCUCAUGCUAACCUUUUCAUUUCGCUUAAAAGAUAUCCAACUAGAAAAUUGUAUUGAGAACCUAUAUUUUGACUAUUAUCACAAGAUGUGUUCCUUGACUUUUACGAUACUCAACGUGCCAUAUACCUUUUCAAUGACAUUAGAUUCUAUUUUGGUUAGGUCAAAUGUUUACUAUGUAUGGUUAGGUACUUUCCAGAGGUAAUUUUGCCCUAGUUCAAUAAGAUGCAAACUAUUAUAAGACAUCAAUUUAUCUAUGUUAUACACACGACCACUCGAGAGUACGUUGAUCAUAGGUAUCUUGAGCGGCUAGACCACAUCUUCCUAAAUAUUUAGGAUAUUGCGACAUGAAACAUAAGAUAAUAUAUUAAGAUAUCACUUCCUUACCUGAUCCCCAUACCUGAGGGAAAAUCUUUGGUACUAAUUGAGAAUGAAUCACUUGAAGAGGAGGCAAAAAAAGAGGAUCACAAUAGUCGGGUCCCUAUUUGCACAUAAACUUGAGACAUGACUUUUGAAUUAUUAUCUCAUGGGACUAUUAAGUUGGGUACUAAAGUUUACGAUGUUGUCUAGAGCAUUCAAAUGAAGGUUAAAAAUUCCUUGUGACACAAGAGAUUUAGGAGGAAUGAAAAUAAUUCUUGUGUGAAAGGUUUCAAAGCAAGGAUUCUCACAAGGAUGGCUAAUAUAAAUGUAAGUUACAUAUUUAUCACUAUCAUAUCCACACAUUUAUUUGCUUACUUAGACACGAAGUAAUACAAGAAACUUUUAAUUUAUGCUUAAUUAAGAAUUUUCUUAUGUUACUUCGUUCUAAGUAAGCAAAUAUCACAGAGGUAUUAUAUACGAAAGAAAUUUUUAAUUAAACAUAAAUUAAAAAUUUCUUGUGUUACUUCGUGUCUAGUAACUUACUUACUAGACUAUUGGUGGUUUCACUAGUGACUUGCUUCUAGUGUUUAAAAAGUAAUAAAAACUAAUUUCCACAUCAUCAUAAAAGUAUUUUGAAAAAAAGUCACUUUUGAAUACUCUCAAUUUUUAAAAGAAACUAUUCCAAAUAUUCAAAUUGGGAACACCUUUUUUUUAUAAGCAAAAUUAUACCCCUGAAUUAAAUUUGAAGUUUCUCAAUCAUCCUCUAAAAUAUGGAGGUAUACUUUAGAAGAAAACAGCAAAAACUUAAAAGGAGGUGUGGAAAUGAAUUUUAUGCAUACCGAAAGCAAGUCCCUUUUUUUUAACAGGGGCAUGAGGCCCAACAAAUACGAGUUAUUGUCAUUCAAAAAAAAUAAUGUAGAAGUGGAAAUAGUUGCAAGGAAAAGUGCUCGGGUCCCCGCCGCAGCAGGUUAACGAACGGUGGCAACUGCAACUGCAACUACAAAUCUGAUAUAAACCCUACCAUCACCAUGUCCAACGACUCUUUGUUCGCCGGCAUUCGUUUUGACAGAAAGAAAUUCGGCGCAGAUAUUGCCAGGUUUCAGGUACCAUUUCAAUCUCUCUUUAACUAAACGCCGCUGAAAGUGAAUUCAAGAAAUUCCAACCAAUUUUUUUGACCUAAAUAUUCAUCACUGCUCAAUUUUCAACCAUUAAAAUUCGGAGCAGUUUUCUCUUAUGUACCUUUGUCAAUCAUAGUAGCGUGAUAUUUUGUAUGCAUAUAGAACUUAACAACGGCUACUAGCUAAUUUGAUAAACUGUACAUCCUCAGAAAGCGUCCUUAUGGGAUACAUGGAUUUCUGAUAAGACUAUUUUUAGCAAUUUUGGAAGUCUUUAAAAGAGGACUUUGAUUAUAUAAUCAAGUUCGCCAUUCAUGAAAAUGAUGAUACUGCACGCUGUAUUCUUAAUAUGAUGUCCAUUAGAGCAGAUACUAGAGCUAAGCACAAAGAAAUCAAAUGAAGCUUGUAAUGGAAAGAAUCUUCCCUGCAUGGUUUGAAAGUUACAAGUUCACAAAGAGACGGACUUCUUUUUUGGAGGAUUUCAGAUGUUUUUUUAUGUUUUUUUUAUUUUAAUCUUUUAGUUUUUUAAAAGUAAGUCGUGCACGAGAGAGAUGGUUUCAAACAUGUUUAUGCAGCAAGGCUUGAUAAAAUGUAGUCAUUCUCUUGCUAUUGAGAAAAACCCAAGUCCCAUAUGAUAAAGAGAGUCUGAAACGCGGUUAUAAAGAGGGACAACCCCUACAUUACUAGUCGGUUUUGUUAGGAUGAGUUAAAUCCAAUAUAAAAACUUACUAUGAUAUUAGAGCCUAUCGAUUUGGGCCACCUGCCAUUUAAUCCAUACAUCAAGCUCAAUAGUUAUGGGUGUGACUUGUGAGGGAGUGUAUUGGUAAAAACCCUAGUCCCACAUAAAAAUAAAGAAAAUGUUUGAAAUGAGUUUGUAAAGAGUGACAUCUCUCACCUUAAAAAUCAGUUUGUAAGGAUGGGUUACACCCAACAUAAAAAACCUAAUGCUUACUUAUUUCAUUUCUUAAUCUAUGCGAAACACUGAUAAUAGUUAUUUCUUUAAAAAAAGAAAAAAAAUGCCGAUACUAGUUUGGCGAAGAUUCAGAGUGUGACAGAAGAUGAAGAAAUCAAGGAAACAAUAGAAGCUGUGUCUGCAAAGAAAAGGAAGCGCAAGAAAACCUCUUCUGGUAUUCUCAUUCUCAUGUUUUAACACUCUAUGUCACAUAUCACUUGUAUUAAUUGUUCUUUAUCUCACUUUUGCUUUGUUUCUAUGACAAAUAAAAGAAGCUGUUGAUGGAUUCAGUGUGUUCCGAAGUUCAACAUCGAAGUCAAGCGAAAAAGUCCAAGCCGAUGAUGAUGAGUCCAUUCGGCUGAAGAAAGAAAAAAAUAAGCAACUCGAGGUUCAGGCCCUUUAUGUUUUGUGCAAUAUAUAGAACUCUCCGUGUUCUUAAGUUUGUGCAAUAAUUUUCUGACCAUUCACUUUCAUUUUUCAUCUUUAUUUAGCGCGAUGCUAUCUUUAGGAAGAGUCAUAACAUUCAUGUGUCCGGUUACAAUGUGCCGUCCCCACUUCAAAGCUUUGAUGAGUUGAAAACAAGGUAAUUUUCUGUUAAUAUUAUUAUUCUGGAAUCUGGUUGUUACAUAUUCUGCUUAUUAUUAUUAUUAUUAUAUAUUUACAUGAACAUGGCAUUGCUGGUUCAGAAUCUUAAAAUGAACUGUUUAUUAUAGUUAUAAAUGUCCGUCCUAUUUAUUGCGGAAUCUGGCAGAACUUGGAUUCAGAGAACCAACACCAAUCCAACAGCAGGCUAUUCCAGUACUCUUACAGGUACGGAUCACAUUGGACAUUAUGUUAUUCGAAAAUCAUUGAUGUAGUUUGAUCUUGGUUUUGAUUCGUGCAAGCUUGAUAUUGUUUGCAAGAGAGAUAGUAUCACAAUAUUGUUUUUACUGAUAUUUUCCUUCACUAAUAUGAGAUAGGAUCGUGAAUGCUUUGCCUGUGCCCCAACCGGCUCUGGAAAAACCCUUGCAUUUGUGUGUCCCAUGCUCAUGAAGCUCAAGGUAUUGCUUAUAUUUUGUUGUCUUUUGCUUCCAACAUCCUGGGUCAUGGGUUCCAAUAAUCAAAUGUGUUUAUAGGCUCAUUCAAAAGGUGGCGUUCGAGCUGUUAUCAUCUGUCAUAGCCGUGAAUUAUCUGGUCAAACAUACCGAGAAUGCAAAAAGUUUGCCAAAGGGGAAAAGUUUCGUAUCAAGUUAAUGACAAAACAUCUUUUAGAAGGUUCUGAUUUUUCAAAUUUUCCUUGUGACAUACUUAUAUCCACGCCCUUUCGAUUACGCUUGGCUACCCAGAGGAAAAAGCUUGAUCUCAGCAGGUGUGUAAUAAUAAAAAAAUCUGGCUUAUUGAUUUAAUCUUAUUACUCUCUAAAAAAUAAUCAAGUAAAUCAUUACAUGUAUAUUAGUCCAUAGGGAUUACUUUAAAUUCCUGUGAUGAUGGUCUACAGCUGCUCCUCUAUGCCACUUAUGCUGUAGUUUAAAUAUCUCAUAUUGAGCUAUACUUUGCUUUGUCCUUUCUCGACCAAUUGCAUGCUAAAUCGUGAAAUUAUCUCCUGGGUUGGUACUUUCUUUUUGCUGUCAUUCUUCAUUCCUUCUGCUAAAAUACAAUAUCAUUGAGGAACAUUUUUCCUGUUAUUCUUCAUUCUAUUUGCGUUUACGUUUCUUUUUAUCUGGCCCUGUGGAAUUAAUGAAGUAGACACGAGUAACCAGUUGAUCAUUCAGUUGACUCAAACCAUAAACCCAACAUGGAAAUCUAAGUUGUUUCAAAGUUUACCACCCCAGGAGAAAGUAAUUAAGUCUAAACACAUUCCAAAGUGUUUAUUGAGAAGCAAGCAAUUGCUAAAUCCAUAUGAAUAAUCGGUUGGAGUCCAUUAUUGCUGUCAAAUAUCUGCCAUGUUGGCGCCAUGGCGGAUUGCAGUGUUUUUUUUUUGACAAUUGUCAUGGCCAAUUUGUGAAGAACGGUGGUGCCAUGACCUUUUAUGGUGUACUUUUGGCUUUCUGCCAUGGUCUUCCAUCCAUUUGCCAUCGAUAACACUGGAGCCCAUUGAACAUGAAAACAAACACACGUUCAGCAGCAUAAUUAUUUCUAAAGAUUAUGGUUUCAUAUAAGAUGGGAGAAUCAAAUAUCUGUUGUAUAUUGGUAAAACAAAUUCAGUGUUUGUUUGCCUCUCAGUUGGCUGUGAUGUUAUUUAAUGAUAAAUUUGAUUGGGUACAACAAAUUGUGGCAUGGUCCAACCCUAGUUGGUGUCGGCUGUUGUAAUGUAAAACCUUAACUACUUAAAUGGUUCAUGCAUUUUCAAAUUUUGCUUGCUGCUUUUAGCUGUAUUCAAUGUUGUGUCUGCAAAGACAGUAGUAAUAAACACUAGACAUGCAAUGUGAUUACCAAAUAGGCGUGUUGAUGUUUUUUUUCUUUCAACUCUUUUGGUUGCUGCAGAGUUGAGUAUCUUGUCCUUGAUGAGUCUGAUAAGCUAUUUGAGCCUGGAAUGUUCAAGCAGAUUGAUGCUAUUAUCAAAGCAUGCACAAAUCCCUCAAUAGUACGCUCUCUAUUCAGUGCUACUUUACCUGAUUUUAUUGAAGAUAAAGCUCGAGAACUUAUGCAUGAUGCUGUUCGCGUAAUCGUUGGCAGGAAGUAAGUUCAAUAAAAAAUUUACAAUAGAACAUUAUGCUCAUGUGCAUUACUUUAACUCUUCACCCUAUUGUAAAAGAUAACAUCUAAUACUUUUAUGGGAAUCAGGAAUAUGGCUUCUGAAACAAUUAAGCAGAGGUUGGUUUUUACUGGAAGUGAAGAAGGAAAACUUAUAGCAAUUCGGCAGAGUUUUGCAGAGGUAUGAAACUAAAAUGAAUGCUUUAGAUAAAAGGCAUUAUUAGUCAGUUUGUUUUUCUUCUGCUUCAAUAUGUUUUGUCUCACAGGUCACAACUUAACCUUGGUCAGUGUGGGUCUUAUUGAAAAGUAAUUAGAAACCUCAUUACAAUUUAUCGUUAAUAUGUAUUUCCUGUUGUUAAUCUGCCUAGUUAAGAGAAACUAUUAAUAAAGAUUUUGGAGAUUAAUGAGUUGGAUAUAAAUAUGAUAUAUGAUAAAAUAUUAUGACAUUGUUUGAUCCAUGUAGCCGACUCCAAAUAGUGAGAUAAGGCUUUGUUGUUGAUUGUAUGUUGCAUGCAUAUAGUUUAAUAUUUACCUUGUUUCAGUUUGGUGUUAAAUAAUGUAUUGUGAGUGUAAAUAUGUAACGACUUGGAACACUUGUUAUUGUAACAUCUACCUUUGAAACUAGCGGAAAGAACAUAAUAUUGCAACACUUGUUUGCUCACUCCUAAUAUAUCAGUUGCUUGCAUUUGUUGACUUUGUUUUUUUUUGCUUUCCAUAUCUCGAAGAGUCUAAAUCCUCCAGUAUUGGUCUUUGUCCAAAGCAAGGAGCGAGCCAAGGAGCUGUAUGGUGAACUUGCAUUCGACAAUAUUAGAGUUGAUGUCAUCCAUUCUGAUUUGUCUCAAGAAGAGGUAGUUCUCAAUCCCUUUGAACAAAAUAAGCUUCUUGUUGGAAAGUAUGAAGGCACUCUGAAACGUUUUUCCCUUCAGCCAAAAAAUGCAAAAAGAAAAAAGAAAACCCAUGAAUUAUAUGACCAAGAUCUCUGGCCCAUACUAUUUAUAUGGUGAAGAUGUCAAAUUAUAGUAUUCCUUGUUUGUGCAAUUGCUUUUGUACUUGACUAAUCUGCUCAUCAUUACUGAACAAGACAAACCUGUUUUUAAUAUACAAUUCUGUUUAACUUUUAAUCUCUGAUCAUCAGCAAUGGGUACUCCAUUAUGAAAGCGCAUAUUUGUUAAGUUAGCUGUAGCCUGUAACUAUGAUGUGAUUUUUUUAAUCUCUUGAAUUCUAUACAGCGAGAAAACGCAGUUGACAACUUCAGAGCUUGUAAAACAUGGGUUUUGAUUGCCACUGAUGUGGUUGCUCGAGGAAUGGAUUUCAAAGGCAUUAACUGCGUGAUCAAUUAUGAUUUCCCAGAUUCUGCAUCGGCAUAUAUCCACAGAAUUGGUUAGUGUCACGACAUGAACAUUUUUUUUUUAAUAUUUAAGAAGUGUUUAGAGGGGCUGUGAUUUGUAAUAUUCACUCACUGAGCCUUUUCUUUAUUAUAUAUUCUUUGAUACAUCAAUUUUUAAUAAUGAUUUGAAUCUACUUUUUGCUAAAUAUAAAUGUUGAUAUUUCAAUAGGUCGAUCUGGUAGAGCAGGGAGGAGUGGCGAAGCAAUUACAUUUUACACAGAAGAGGAUAUUCCAUUCUUGAAGAACGUAGCUAAUCUAAUGGCAUCCUCAGGCUGUGAAGUUCCAUCCUGGUUGACGGAGUUGCAGAAAAAGAAGUGGAGGAAGCACCGACCCAAAAGAGAUUCUAUCUCAACUAAACCUGACAAAGUUGCAAAAAAACAAGUGACAGAAAAAGCAGUGGAGGAAGCACCGGCCGAAAAAGAUUCUAUCUAGACUAAACCAGAUCUUUAAGUCUAUUACAACAACAAAUUGGAACAAGUUUUUGACCUGUGAAAUUUCUUGAAGUGUUUAUUUCUUGAAAGACCAUGCAACAGUGUUAAUUUAUAAUCCUCCCUCUCCAAAAAUGAUGAAAAGGGGGUGACUGGAUGGUGUGCGGGGAAUGUUGUCUAAUGCUUAUAUAAGUUCCAACCAUGAUAUAAUCAUAUACAUUACCUUAGUGCCAGUUGCAACACCCAUAAAUGGGAAUUUUUGGGCCUUCCUUUGUACUGAACAAGCAAUUUUGUUGAUCCUAAAAUGUCUGAUUUGAUAUACGUUGAAACAACAUUUCAUUCAAUAGAUUUUUAUUGUGUGAUGGCUUUCUACACAGUAUGUUAGUAAUUCUUCCAAUGCCAAGGCAUGCACAUAAUACAUGCAAUUCUGUAGUAUAUGUCAAUUAUUUAAACAUUUUAUGUGGGCUAAGUCUCUUAACAUAAUUUAAGGAUUUAAUUUGUUCCAUUAUUUAAUAAGAGUAAAAAGUUUUACAUUGUCGAUUCAUCACCAUCAUCCGUUUGUAUUAUUUUGUAGGUUUUUAAGAUAAAAGUCAAAUUUGGUUCAAUAUCCAACGUCUAUAAUUAAUUGAUGGUGUAAAAUUCUUUUAUACUGUCAGUGUAUUUCAAUUAAAUUCAUUUAAUAAAUGUUAUUUUUUAAUCAUUUAAAAACUAUUUCAUGACUUAUGUGAAUGACAUUAUCUCAACAUGAAAGAAGUGGAGGAAAAAAUAGUGUUCGUAAAUGUUUUUUUUUUGUAGAUUAGCGAAAACCUUUGUAUCUUUUUAGAAUAACUUCAAAAUCAUAUCCUUUUAGAUUAAUCAAUAGUGAAUCGAGAUUUUGAUUUUGAUAUGACUUGGAGUCCUUGUUGGUUUUUUAUUUCUUUAUUCGGUGAUCUAUGAUCUAUUGAUGGUGGGUGUAUUAACUUAAGAUCUAACUUGCUACUUUUUAGUUUGGAGCUCGAAUAAACAGUUUUUCCUUUGGUUCUGUCAUGUCUUAAUGUUUCAUUAGUUUUUCUUCACCUGUUUGUAUUAUAUAUUAAUAUAUAUAUAUAAUAUAUAUAUAUAUAUAUAUAUAUAUAUAUAUAUAUAUAUAUAUAUAUAUAUAUAUAUAUAUAUAUAUAUAUAUAUAUAUAUAUAUAUAUAUAUAUAUUAUAUAUAUAUAUAUAUAUAUAUAUCAAUAUUAUUUUAUUCGGCUUAUGGUACAGCUUGUGCUAUUUGAUUUUCUUUUAUAUUUUGUGUUGAGUAUGACUUAUCAUGUAGAAACUCUAAACAGGUCUUUGGACCACCUGUUUGUUGGGGUAACUUAGGAUUAAAGUUUAGGUUUAGGGGUAUUUCACUUGUAACACUGUAACCCUUAAUUCAUAAGACAAAAGUCAAUGAUAGAAUGUGAUGAAAGUAUUGAUCGAAAUUGCGUUAAAAAAGAUCAAUCAUGUUCAUUGUCUUUUACAUUCGUUUCUCUUUAAUCCUCUAUGUUGGUUGUUGUUCUAAUAGUUGGUAACUCUAGUGUGAAAUUCGAGGUAACAAGGUUUGACGAGACAAAUAAUUUUGGAUUAUGGCAAAUGAGGGUUAAGGAUCAAUUGACUCAUCAAAGUUUAUAGAAAGUGUUGCAUGAGACAAAAUCGAACGACAUGGAGGAUACCGACUGGAUAGAGAUGAAAAACAAGGUUGCGAGAUUGAUUCACAUAUGUGUUUCAGAUGAGGUGAUGUAACAUAUCCUGGAGCUGACGACGCUGGAGGAGGUUUAAGACAAACUGGAAAGUUAGUAUAUGAAAAAGACGUUGACGAACAAAUUACUCCCUAAACAUCGACUAUACAGUCCGAAGAUGCAAGAAGAACCUGAUUUGCAACAACAUGGCAAUGCCUUCAAUAACAUAAUCACCGAUUUGGUGAGGCUUUGGAUGAAAAUUAAUGAAGAUGAUAAGGCAAUUAUCUUUCUCUGCUCGUUACUAGGUUCUUAUAACCACUUGGUGACCUAUGGAAAAGAAAAUAUAAGUCUUGGUGUGAUUACUGCUAUUUUUUUUGUCUCAUUCUCAAAAGAGACAAAGUGUAGAUGAAUGAACUUAAGGCGGAGAUUUGUAUGUGAAAGGGAGUCAAAAUCGUGUGCAGAAUAAGAGUAAUGGAGGUUCUGGAAAAAAGAUGUAUAAAUCUCGGAAUCGGAAAACAACUUAGUGUUAUAGUUGUAAACAUAUUGGGCAUUGGAAGAGAGAUUGUCCAAACAGAAAGCAAGCCUCAUCUAGUUUUGCAAAUGUAGUCCAAAUAGAUGACUUUGGUAGUGAAGCAAAUAUACAGUGUAUUUCAUCCAACCAAUGCACAUAUGUGUGGAUUCUUGACUCUGGUUGUUGUUACUACAUGACACUGCAUCGAGAAUGGUUCACUACAUCCCGGUCAGGUAGUUUUUUUUUUUUAUCAAGUGAUGAUAAAGCAUGUAUUAUCACCAGAAUGGGACAAAUUAAAAUUUCCAUGGACAAUGGUGGCGUUCAACAUUGUACGAACUCAAAUGUAUCUUAGAAUUAAGGAGGAAAUUGAUUUCCCUAGGUACUCCACAGACAAAUGGUUUUUCUUACAAGUAUGAUGAAGAUAGCCACAUUAUGAAAGUUAGCAAGGGUGAAUUGAAUGUGAUGAGAGCAAAGAGGACUGCAAGUAACAUCUACAAACUAUUGGGGAAGAGGUUUGUAGGUGAUGUUGCAUUAGUUGAGUCUAAUAAUGAUGCAACCAAACUCUGGCAUAUGCGUCUGGUUCAUCUCCAUGAGUGUGGGAUGAUGGAACUUCAUAAGAGGAAUCUAUUGAAGGGUGUUUGUAGUUGUAAGAUGGAAUUGUGCAAGUAUUGUAUACUUGAGAAAUAUUGUAGUUUUUGGUUCAAGACUAUAAACAAUGAAUUUUAGACUAUGUGCAUUAAAAUGUGUGGGGUCCUACCAAAGAGGUUUCCAUGGAUGGUUCCAGGUAUUUUGUGAGUUUCACAAAUGCUUUUUCUCGCAAGGUUUGGGUGUAUUUCUUGAAAUAUAAAGAUGAAGUCUUUACCAAAUUCAAGUUGUGGAAGACAGAGGUAGAAAAUAAAAUAGGAAGAAAAAUCAAGUAUUUAUGAUCAGAUAAUCAAACAUAUUACGCUGACUUGAAAUUCAAGAGGUUAUGUGAAGAACAUUAUAUUCAAAGAUAUUUAUCAGUUUGCAAGUCACCACAACAAAACUGUAUUUAAAGAUAUGGGUUUGAAUGGUCGGGGGGAGGGGGGGGGGGGGGGGGGGGGGUGGGGGGGGGGGGGGGCUUUGUUCCCAAAAAGACCGUUACAAAAAAUUCUUUUAUAAAAUUAGAGUUUUAAAAAAUGCUUGGCAUAGAGAAAGUUUUCGUAUAAAAGAUGUGAUUGGAUUGAUGAUAUAAUACAUACUUAUUACCAACAAAAAAUAAAGAAGCAAAAGAAUAGUAGAAGAGAAUACUAAAAUGUACUCGAUGUUUUGAUUGAACUAAGUUCAUUUUACACGAGAUUUGUAAACCAAAUUUUCUCAAAUGAAUAAGGAUUAUAUAAUCACAGUUUUCACUUUAUUCAAAAGUAAGAAUGUUUAGGAACUUGAUCUAACACAUGCCUAAUUUUUAUACACAAAAUCUCUAUGCACGCGGUAAAAUCUAUCAGCAUGCGAUUUCUAAGAGAAACAAUUAACCUAAACAUACAAUACUAAACGAAAUAUAAAAGUGCGAGAGAGGUAAAGAUAGUACGCCAUAUUUAGAGUGUUUCAGCGUUUCGUCAUCGUUUGAGCUUAAUCCACUCUCCAAUGCUUCCCAUUGAAAGUUUGUUGUUGCUCCACUAUGACUUUGACAAUUUUCACACAGAGUAUUUUAAUACAAUAAUGAUUCAAAUCAUGCUGAAAAUACACGAUCUUUAGUCUAAAUCUCUCUUUGACUAUAAACAACGUCUAAAAUCGGUUCCUACAAUUUUUACUUGAUCUCGACUUCUUCCUUCCAAACUCAAGAAUUCUCCUCCAAACGUCCGUUUUGCAUCGACCUUUACUCAGUCCUACCAGUUCCUUGACUUGUCUGAAGGUGAUAGAAACUCCAACUCCGUCUGUAGUAGCUUCCACACAGCUUUAUCGAAGCAAUCUUGAAGAAAAUAAACUCGUUCUUUUUCACAGUUGGAUUGCCGAUCUCAGACAGUCAGAAUUGAGUUUUUACCUUGACUUGUUUUUCCUAGGUAAAAUUGAAACGUAAAAUCGUAGAGUUUAUCUCAUUAAAAUAAUAUUAAAUUCACACACACACACACACACAUACACACACGCGUGCGCGUGCAUGCAUGGACACGUAUACGCGCGCGUACACGCACACAUGCACAUAUGCUCACACAUGCAUGUAACAUGAGCACACACGCACACACACACACACACACACAUACACACACACACACACACACACACACACACACACACACACUUGCACACACUCGACACACACACACAUACAUACAAACACACACCCACACACAUAAGCACAUACACACACACACACAUGCAUGCUUGCACGCACGCACGCGGGCGCGCGCACACACACACACACACACACACACACAAACGCACGGUAAAUGCACACACACACACAAACGCACACGUAAAUGCACACGUGCACACACACGCACGUGCACACACACAAUGAGAUUUAUCAUGUCAGAACCAAGCAUAUUGAAUGAUGUGAGUAUGAGUGUUCAUGGAUGUGGGUCAACCCAUGAACCUGUUGACCCAAACCUAACCAACCCAUAAAUUAUCCGAACUUAUUCAUUUACGAGUAUACCCAAUCCAAUCCUUAACAACCCGUAUAAUUUUGGUUCGGGUAUCGGGUUUGAGUUUUGCAACCCGUUGACCCAACCCAUUGAUGUGACUUUAAUAAUUUCUUAUUAUUUAUUUAUUAUAUUAAAUAAAAAUAUAAAAUUAAUAUCAAACUAAUAACCAUAAUUUUUCCAUUUUUUUUAUUCUCCACCAAUAAUACUACUAGACGAAUGAGUUUACGUAAUUCUAAGAUUAAAUGUUGUUUCUUAUUUUCUUUUGUAUCAUUUGCAACUUAUGUAUUUUAUGGAAAUAAUGUGUCUUUUUGAACUUUAUAAUAUUAUCAAGUGUUAUGUCGUGUUGAUGAAUUUUAUUAGAUCUUAUAUGACAUGUUUUAUCUAAUUUGAGUGUUAUAAAUGAGUAUGAUUGUAUUGAGUCGCGUUACAUUUUUUUAAACCGACAAAAAGAGUCAUAAAAAUUAUAUUUUUUCUUUGAAACACAACCUGCGAACCCAACUCAACCCAACCCAUAAAUGAACGGGUCGAUUCAGGUCAGUUUUGACAAUGAAAUUGCGAGUUUAGCGAUGGACCCAAUUCAUUGAAAUUUGAAUGAGUUGGAUAAUGGUAUAUGUCAAAUCUGGUCUAACCCAACCCGUGUACACCCCUAGAUGUGACAUUUCAAAAGACCAAAAAGUAACUUACAUAUAGACAAGUAUUACUUGAAAAAGUUCAUACUUCAGAUUAUGUAACUGAUAUGUUGAACAAAUCCGUCAUUAGUGACAAAUUCAAGCAUUGUUUAAGCUUGUUACACGUUUCUCAGUGUUAAGUAGGAGGUGUAUCUCCAUAGUUUUCAAGAUGUGAUCGCCAUGCUAUAAGUCCGUAUAGGGGUUUGACAUUUACUAAGAUGAAGAUUUUGAGAAAGUCUCGUAUUAUGUAAAACCUUCAAACGAGUCAUAGAUCCAAUAGUUUGUUGUGGGUAUCUAUGGAAUAUAUAUAUAUAUAUAUAUAUAUAUAUAUAUAUAAUAUAUAUAAUAUAUACUAUAUAUAUAUAUAUUAUUAUAUAUAUAUAAUUUAUAUAUAUAUUAUAUAUAUAUAUAAUAUAUAUAUAUAUAUAUAUUAUUAUAUAUAUAAGUUUAGAAGUACAAAAGUAUUAUUGUAAACUGAAAAUAAUAUUAUAUAUAUGAUUUGUAUCAAUGUAACCCUACUUCAUAAGACACAAAUUAAAAGAAUUAUAAUUGUUCUAUAGUCACAAAAGUGUACACCAUUGAUCAUACCGUAUUAACAAAGAUUAGUCGUAUUUAUUGUCUUUUAUUUCCGUUUUCAUAUUGGUUGUUAUUCUUUGUUGGGGUCUUUUACCCUUUAUAUUUAAUAUAUUAUCUUGCCUUUAAAAAAUAGUAUACAAACUAAUUUGGGAAAGUAUCUAAAUCAUUAGCAACCACUAUCUAAAAAAAUUGUUUUCACAUAUUAAGAAAUUUAGGGAAGUUUAAUGAAUUUUCUCGACUUUUUUGUUGUUGUUGUAAGAUAUAAGUUAAAUUUAUUAAAUUAUCAUUUUUUAUAUUUAGAGAUUUAACUAUCCGUAUUAGAUGUUUUGAAUAAAAUGAAAUGUAUAUUAGAAAUAAUAUCAUUAAAUAGUGUAGGCCUUAAAACCUUUUUAAUAGUUGGGAAAGAUCAGAUAGCUAAACUUAAAUGCCUAUUAAUCAAAUCACAUAAAGGAGGAAAAACACCAAAUACUAUUACUAAAACAUAAAAUUGUAAAAGAAACAUUUUAGUGUUAACAAUAUUAUCAACCCUCGGGGUUAGUCAUCACAAAUUUCUUGUAGUGCUUCGUCAAAACUAUCUUGGGUUUCUAUAUAGUUUCUGUAUUAAAUUCUCAGAUGUGAAAUACAUAUUUUGAAGGUAACAAUUGUACCAUAAACAGCUGCAAAUGACAGAUGAAAUUAAUUUAACUGAAUAUAACUUUGGAUCAAACUUUUUGUUAUAAAAAGCUGUAGCUCCAAUAUUAUGAAGCACAAACAUUUGAAAUACGACGCUGCUGACACGUUAACACAAGUAAUAAUUUUUAAAAAAUGAAUAAAUUAAGCGUAAUCACAAAUAUAGGUGUUGGAUUCGGAUACAGACGCUGACACAUACACACAUUUUUUCCCGAGGUGUCAGUGCUAUAUAACUAUAAUCCAACUACAAAUUUUCAACUUUUUAACUACCAAAUGCUAAUCUCUAACCUCUGGCAAAGAUCAUAGCCAUCAUCUAGCACCUGCAGCCAUAACUCUUCAAGCAUUGUGUAAAUGUUGCUCCUUUGUGGAUGUGAGCUAUCUUCAGAGAAGAAUAUAUGGAUCUUAUCCUUAACUUCUAUCCAGCUUUGACCAGGUACCUUUUGUACACCCAUUUGUUUCAUUAGGUUCCUUAGUGUAGCAACAUCUUCCCAAUUACCAGCAGAAGCAUGUAUGUUAGAAAGCAUCACCAUUGCCGCAGAGUUGGAAGGAUCGAGUUUUAGUAUAUUUUCUGCAGCUCUCUCUGCAAUGUCAACUUUAUUAUUAUGAGUUUUACAAGCAGCAAGUAGAGUUUUCCAAGUAGUAAUGUCAGGGUCAAAUUCUGAUUUCUGAAUAAAAGUCUCUGCUUCAUGGAAGCAUCCGGCACGAGCAAGCAAAUCAACCAUGCAAGAGAAGUGUUCUCUUGUCGGUGGAAUUCUGUAUUCUGUUUCCAUGGAUUUAUAUAAACGCCAGCCUUCCUCCACUAAUCCAAUGUGACUGCACGCGCUGAGAGCCCCGAGAUAUGUGACCUCGUUAGGCCGAACGCCAAGAUUUGUCAUAACUUUAAAGAGAUUAAGAGCUUCAUGUCCAAGUCCAAACUGAGCAUAACCAACAAUUAAACUACUCCAUGAGACAAUAUUUGGGCUCUGCGUUGAAUCAAAAACGUCGCGAGCAUGUUUAAGUGAUCCACAUUUUGCAUACAUGUCAAUCAAUCCAUUGCACACAGAAACAUCAAGCACUAGCCCACUUUUAAUACUAUAGCAAUGCACUUGAUUUCCGACACCUAAAGAUGUCAGCUCAGCACAGGUUCCUAAUAGAGUAGUUAUGGUGAUACUGUCAGGCUUAUUUUCAGAAUAAAGCAUUUGUUUAAAUAAUCUGAAAGUCUCUCCUUCUUGCUUGUGCUGCAAGCAUGCUGAAAGAAUUGCAUUCCAAGAAACUAAGUUGGCAUUUCCGCUUACAUCUCUGAAAACAUUUAAUGCAUCAUAUAGAUUUGAGCACUUUGUGUACAUGGUUAACAAGGAGUUGCAUACCGAUACUUCCUUAUCGAGACCGAUUUUGACAAUGUAAGAAUGAAUGUGCAUACCCUGGUUAGAUGCUGUGGGGCUCCCACAAGCGCAAAGUAAGGAAAUAAAAGUAACGUUAUCUGGGAUCAGUCCUGUUUGCAUCAUCCGAUGGAAAAAAUCUAUGGCUUCAUUAGCAUCACCAUUGUCAGCAAAUGCUGCAAUAAUUGCAUUCCAUGACACUAUAUCAGGGCUUUUAAUCUGAUAGAAUGCCGUCUUUGCCGAAGGUAAAAAUCCGAAUUUUGCAUACAUGUCACAAAGGGAGCAUCCAGCGAAAACGUUCCUCCCUAAACCGAAUUUAGCGCACAUUCCAUGUACUUGCUUUCCAUACUCUAGUUCAAGAAGGUUGCUGCAAGCACUGAAAACACUGCCAAAUAUGAACUCAUUUGGCUGAUAAACUCCCUGCCUGAGCAUAUCUCGGAAAAUAUAUAAAGCUUCUAUCCUAUAACCUUGUUGAGUAUAUCCCGUAAUCAUGGAACCCCAAGAAAUUAAAUCCUUUGUAGAAAUCGUUGUAAAUACAUUUGACGCAUGUGUGAUUUGUCCGAAAUUUGUGUACAUUGAAAUAAGAGCAUUUAGGGAGAUCAAGUGAUGACCAAACCAUGAUUUAAUGACAUGAGCAUGCAGUUGCCUACCUAAACCUAUAUCCCCGGCAAUGUAGCAAGCCUUAAUUAUGCUUCCAAAGGUUAACUGGUCCGGAAAUUGACCCGAUUGCAUCAUUUGAAUAUACAUGAUGAUGGCAUCGUUCUCUUGACUGUUCUGUGAGUAUCCGGAGAUCAGUGAAGUCCAAGAGACCACAUUUCGUAGCUGCAUUGUGUCAAAAACUUUUCUAGCAUCAUUCAUAGAACCACAUUUUCCAUACAUGUUAAUAAUAUGAUUUUGGAGAAUCAUGCUUGGUUGGCAGCUGGAUUUUGAAAUGUGAUCAUGGAUUUUCUUUGCAUAUUCAAGUGAUCUAGAGUUGGCGCAAGCCAAAACUAAACUCGUAUACGUGCUUGGUUCAAAAUGGAUAUUCGGAUUCUUUAGAUGAAAAUCAAACACUUCCAGCGCUUCUUUGUAAUGCUGUUGCUUACACAACAAUAUUAUGUAACUAUUAGUCGGUAGCUCUGUACUUAGAUUAGAGACAGUUGCUGGUUGCAGAACAGGUCUUACAUGAUUAUGCAUACAUCGAAUGAAGCUUCGAAUUGUCAUAGACAUGGAUGGGGUUUUUGAAAACUAGAAAAAGUAAAACUACUGUUAUUUGACGACAACGGAAGAAACCUUAAAGGGCAAGAUGGUUUCAGGACAGUGAAGUGGUUACAAAUGAGGGUUUCUGAUUCUGACUAAGGAUAUAACAAAAAACAGUAGUAGGAUGAUCAGAAAGUGAGUGUUUCCAAUGUAAAUAUAUGAAAUAUUAACAUGAACCAUGUAACUAAAUAUGCUAUAUUAUGCUAAAGCCACUUCCUAUAUGUUACUAUCUCGCUGUGGCAAUUUGUCAAACAGCUACUAUGCAACAAAAUUGCAUUCUAAAAUGUGUACAACAAUGAGUUAGAAAAACUGUAUAAGUGCAUAAUGAUCAUCUUUAAAAUAGUUUAACAACUCAAAAUUGGAGGAAAUUUAUGGAUUCCAAAACCACAAAAAAGUUAUGAUAACUGAAAAUAACGCACCUGAAGUCUCUGGUUAGUGCUCAACCAGAGAGAAUACUAAUGUCACGUGCUUAUUGUUAUUGUUAUUACAAAACUACCCACUAUAUUUUCUUUAUUUAUAAAAUUUAUGUUUUUAAGAUAAAAAACAUAAAAUUUUAAAUAAUUCAUUUUUUCAAAUAAAUAUCCAAAAUAACUCAUUUUUUCAUCUAUUUUUCAAAAUAACCAACUUUUAAACAAAAAAAAAUUUCAAAACAAAGGAGGCGUCAAUCCAAUUGACGUCUGUGUACAUCACAUAAGAGGAGAAGACAAUCCAAUUGACGACAUUGUACAAACACGUAGGAGGGAGAAUAUACUUUCUCUCCUAUACGUUUGUACAUUAUCGCCAAUUGGAUUGACCUCUCCUCGACCUCUCCUCCUCUUCUGUGUUGUACACGGACGCCAAUUAUAUUGACGUCUCAUUUAUUUUGAGAUUUUUUUUUAUUUGAAUGUGGAUUACUUUAAAAAAUAAUUAAAAAAGUGAAUUAUUUAAUAUUUAUUUGAAAAAAAUUAAUUAUUAAAAAAGAAGACAUCCCUUGUCAUUUAGUCAUUGAGUUAAGUGAAUAAUAUAAAAAAGAAAUUUUAACUUUAAUUAUUUGUUAAAAUAAAUUAUUUUUAAUUAAUAUUUUAUUUUCUCUCUAUGACAACCACACAUUUAAAAAAUAUGAAGCAGGUGUAAAAUUGGUGGGACAAUACUUCAAAUCAAAUUAAUAUGCAACGACUUUGUUCAAGCCCACAUUAUUAUCUUACUUCUAUUUGCAAUAAUUCUAUACUCCAAAUAUUCAUUAUGCUCAUAAUUAUCCUGCCAAAAAAAUUCCACAGUCAAACUUUAAUUAAAUUUUUUUAUGCACAUUCCUCUAAAUUGAUCCAAAAAAGUACCAAUUCAGCCUAAAUUAUAAACUAAACAAAUCCUAAUCACUAAUCAGCAAUAAUCACUAAUAAUAGUUAAAGAGACAGCUGCUACAAAAAAAAAAAAUAGAUUGGUACCAUCUCAACAGCUAUUUGGUAUAAGAUAGCAACUCAUCCUCUCACUCUCACAUAAAAAAUUAUUUUUCAUAUUCUUUAUAUAUAUUACUUUUGCUUCAAGUCACAACCAAGUGAAGCAAUUCCAAACAAAAACUAGUAAUUUAGUUUGAAAGUAUCAAUCAUAACCUCAUAAAAUUUCAAACGUUUUCUUUAACACCAAUACUUUAUACUUUAUGUUCCAUUUUAAAUAACCUUCUCUUCACUUCAUUCUCUUCCAACCUGAAAAUUUUCUGGUCAAUUUUUUCAUAACAUGGGUUCACUAGAAAGGUCAAAGAAAAAAACCCAUUUAUGGAAAAAAGCCAUGCUUCAUUUUUCUCUAUGUUUUGUUAUGGGUUUUUUCACCGGUUUAGCUCCAUCAGGUAAAUCUCUAAUAUUUUCUAGCAAAAUUGAAGUUGCAUUUGCAGUUUCAAACGUAACAGAGUUUGUAACAGCAGCACCUCAACCUUCUCAAACUUCAACGAAAAAUAGUAACAAAAGUUGGAUAGCUUCAGCACCGAAAAUCCAUAGCCAAAAAACAAAGUUGCAUGCAAAACCACUACCUCAGUUAAAGCCGAAAAGACUUGUUAUCAUAGUAACUCCAACUAGCACAAAACUACCUUAUCAAAAUGUUUUUCUGAGAAGGUUAGCGAAUACUAUAAAGCUGGUUGAUCAACCGGUGCUUUGGAUUGUCGUCGAGGCGAAAACCGAUUCGCCGGAGUUGUCGGAGAUUUUAAGGAAAACUGGUAUCAUGUACAGACAUGUUGUUUUCAGUGAAGAGUUUGAGGAUUUAGAAGGUGAAUUGAAUCAUCAGAGAAAUUUAGCACUUAGUCACAUUGAACAUCAUAGAUUGAGUGGGAUUGUUCAUUUUGCUGGACUUUCAAAUGUUUAUGAUCUUCAAUUCUUUCAACAGCUUAGAGAUAUUGAGUAUGUUUUCUAACCCUUCUAUUUGCUUAACUAAUUAUUAAUUAUAUUAUUAUUAUUUUGUUGUCUUAUAGUGAUUUGUUCUAAUUUAAAUGUAGCUAGUGGGGGGAAGUUUUAAAAAUAAGCAAAUUUUUUUCAAUUAGAUGGAGAAAAGUUAGUGAGAAAAUCUUUAGGUAUACCAAAAGAUGAUGAUGAUAACUUUAGUGAAUCUUCAACUUAGAUAAAAAAUCAUAUACAAAGAAGACUAUUUAAUUAAAUAUGUAUAAAAUUAUUUUUUAAAAUUAAUAUUAAUAGUAUUUUUUGUAUUAGUAUUAAUAUUAUUACAUAAGAUUUUGUUAUUAGAAUUUAUUUAUAAAUUUGUUGAUAUUUUCAGUAACUUAUGUUUAUUAAUUAACAUUAAUAUAACAUUUUAAAACUUCAUAUUAAAUAUUAAAAUAUAAUUUAAUAUCACUUACUUAUGAGUUUGUUAAUAAAUUUUAAAUAUGACUUUAGAAAAUAUAAAAUUUAUUGAACUUUAAAUUAAAUUAUAAUAAAUUACUUGUCAAAUUUUAAAAGCUUUUAUCUGAUAAGACUUAAUUCAGUAAAAAUUUACAUGUUAAUAAAAUCAAAACUAUCAUUGAAGUAAAUUUUUUUAAUGAUCUACAAAUUAUGAUAUUUUACAAUUACUAGUUGAUUUUUAAAUUUUUUAAAAAACUUAUAUGCUUAAUUUUCUUUAAUAUUUUUACAAAAUAAUGUGUUUCAAUAUUUUAAUUGUGAUUAAUGUGACAAUUGAGCAGGGUCUUUGGGACAUGGCCAACAGCAUUAUUACUUGCAAAUAGAAAAAGAGUCAUACUUGAAGGACCUGUAUGUGACUCAUCUCAAGUUAUUGGAUGGCAUUUAAGAAAUAUGAACAAUGAAACAAUAACUCCUCCCAUUCAUAUUUCAAGUUUUGCAUUCAAUAGCUCCAUUCUUUGGGACCCUGAAAGAUGGGGUAGAACUUCAUCUGUUAAACACACUUCUCAGGUAAUUAAUCACUUCAUAAUCAUGUUUAAUCUCAUUCUAAAAUAGGUAAUUAAUUAAGUUAGUUUAUAUCACUCCUUCACUUUUUACAAUUUUACUUGCGUCUACUUAACAUUUACCCAACUACUUUAAAAAGAAAACUCAAACGCAAGAAAAAUUAUGCAUUAAGUAAUGUAUAAUGACAACAUGAUUAAUUAGUUGAACUAAUUGAAUAGAACAAUACUACUAAUUAUGUAGUGUUUUCUACUCCAUGUAGUAAUGUUUUCUACCAAACAAUUUUGUUGCUAUUUUGUUUUUUUUGUCAUAAUAAUGAUGCUACUUUUUGUGUGGUUAUCUUAGAAUUCAAUCAAGUUUGUGAAGCAAGUAGUUCUAGAAGAUGAAACAAAGUUGAAGGGAAUUCCACCAUAUUGCUCCAAAAUAUUGUUAUGGCGUUUCAACUUCUAUGCUCGUGCCAUGUCCAAGCAUUAAUUUGUAGGAUAUUAGAGAGAAUAAGGAAUUUGAAGCAAUUCACAAAUUGCUUUUCUACUACAAAAUAUAUGAAAUUUAUUCAUUUUUUUUACCUUUUGUAAUUGUAUUUCGUAUAUAGUUUUUUUCUUCGUUCAUAAUUUUUGUUAGUUUAUGUAAGAGAGGCAAAACAUUUAAAGCAUAUUUUAUAUUUUUAUUUUUUUGAUAUAAAGGCACUAGAGUUUCUAGCAUAUUACUUAAUGCACCAUAAACAUUAUUUACUCUUGUAAAAAAUUAAAAUUAUCCUUAGAAUUUAGAGGUGCAUCCCGGAUGCAUACUAUUUACAUAAAUUAUUUUGUUUUUGAGUCACACAUUAAUUAUAAUUAAAUUUUAUCUAGAAAUGCAUAUAUGUAUUUUAUAUAGAUGUAUUUCUGAAUCCUAAUGAAUCAAGAACAAUUGCAUAAAUGAAACAGAUACACAGUCAGAGAUAAAUUAACAUCAAUAAUUGUUAUGACAUACAUAAAAAUCGAAACAUUAUAUUGAUAAUUGUUAUGACAUGCAUAAAAAAAUGAACUAUACAUUUCAUCAUCAAGUAUGACGUUGCAAUAUCUUCAAAAUAUCUUCGGUGGAUCUCGUAAUUUUCACAUCCAACUCGAUUGAACCUUUCGUUUUGUAAGGGUGAAAUGUACUCCACAUAACCCUUAAAUCAUCAUCUGUCUUCAGCUCAAACUUACUGAACUGAAUGUUUCCUUCGUUAUCAAUCGAGGGUGAACGACACUUGAGUUUGAUAACUUUUUGAUUGUCUAAGUAUUCUAGAAGAUUCUCAAAAUAUGCAUUUCAGAUCUGCAAGAGAGGUGUACUCAGUGACCUUAAAUUCAAGUGAGACAUUCACGACGUUGAAGUAGACAAAUGCGACAUGCCAAUAUAUGUUAAUUCUGGUGUAAUGUGACUUUGUUAAAAAUUUGAGAUGAGAGAUCCAUUUUAUACAAGUUUUAGGUCAAUAUGGAACUUAGAAAUUCAAUCAUGUCCCAAGGGAAAUUCCGUAGAUGUACUUCUUAAAACACCCUACUUUGUUGUGUGAAAUUUAUGAAAAUAUGGUGCAUCAGAAAAUACAUUUUUGAAUAAAUUCAUGUUCGUAUUUUUUUAAAAUAUUUGGGAUGAAUCCAGAAAUGCAUUUUCGGAUGCACCAGAGACUGUUUGCUUAACCAAUUUCAGAAACAGAACCUGUUUUCCAAUAGAAAAUGGAGAAAUAUUUUGAAAAUUGAAACAAAUAUUAAAAUCUAUGAAAACAUAUAUAUUUAACAUCAUUAAUAUUAAUAUAAAAUUACAUACAAUACAUGUCUAACCAAAUAAACACACUGUUGAAUAAAAACUAAAAUGAAUCAAAACAUGUGUCACCGUCUAAAUCUAUAUGUAUGAGAAUUACACAUUUGACUUUUGUUUAUUUGUUUCUAUUUCAAUCUCGCUCAACUUGGUGAAUUCUUGCAUCCUAUCCAUAAAAGGAUUCAACAAAGUCUCAGUUUUCCAUGUUGAAUGAGUUGUCCACUCCAGGGUGUUAGGGGUACAGGGCAUCCUGAUUUCAAAACUAAAACAAAGUGUCACGUUUUUGAAAGUCAUUCAAUACACAUAAUACGAUCAAUUGGAUUUUGAGGUGGGACAAUGUAUAGUGGAUUUUUUUUUCGAAAACUAUAUCUUGUCAGAUCAAUACACACCUUAUUAUAUGCAUUUGUUAUAAGAUGACUCAUUUUAGUGAAGUACAUCCAUUUUUCUUCUGGCGUAGCUCCCCUAAUGCAAGGAAUAAGAGAUUCAUGAUAUGCACCAAAAUUUUCUUUUUUUCCGUAUAACACGUGUGUGAUUCUUUAUAGUCGUGUGUAUGAUUCUUUAUGCACCAAAAUGUAUGAUCAUCAUCUCCUUUACCGAGCAAAGCAGAAAUAUAUCGAAAACCGCCAUUAUCGUUGCCCUCAAUAUUCAUGAUCCGUUCUGAAGGGAUUUAAAGGAGAUUUUUCAAAAAUUUUGAUCCCCUUAGUGGAACAAUCCCGAUGAAUGGAUCUUAAUUAAAUCACUAAUCACGAAUCAAACACAAAUAAAGGUUUUGAAUUCUCUCUUGAAAUGUGCUUUAACUUUGAUCAUGAACGUGAAAAAUAACACCGUCUCUAUGAAGUCUACGCGAGUACAAAGUCGAACGUGAUGCUAGCAUUUUCUUUUUCUGAGAAUGACUUUGCAAAGGAAAUAAUUUUUCUAUUUAUAGAGAGCUACUAAAACCCUAAUAUGUUCUUAUUUUGGUCUUUGUAAAAAUAAGCUCAAUCUUAUUUAAUUAAAUAAUUUUAAUUAAAUAAAAUAUAUUUUAUAUUUAAUUAAAUUUUUUAAUUAUAUAAAAUAAAAUAUUAAUUAAAUUAAUCAUAUUUAAUUCAAUUAAUUAUCAAUUCUCAUUUAUUUAAUUAAAUUAUAUUUAAUCAAAUAAAUUAUAUAUGUAUUAAUAUAUUAAAUAAUCUAAAUACUCUUAACACAUGAUUAAAUUAAAUUAAAUCUUAUUUAAUUUAAUCAUUCAUUCAAUUAUCAGUACUCUAUGGGUGAUACUUAUUUGAGGACGAACAUGCAUUUUACAGUCAUACUCGUUCAAGGGUCCAUAAAUAUUAUUCCAGUAUAUAUAGGAGAUACAAAUCUCAUAUAAGUCAUCCAUGUCUCUUAACAUGAUUUAUAAAAUAUUCAUCCAUCAUCUUUAUAUCUUUAUAGGAAUUCUUUUAUGGAUAACUUUUGAAUGUAGUGUGUACUCAUUUAUGUAAUACCUAUAGCACUCGGUUGUUUUUCUUUGGUUUAUCAAAACAACCGAUGCUUGUUUUAGUGUUUUGACCAAUAUUUGAGAAUUGAAAUAAGUUCUUUUAAGUAGUCAUAAUUGCUCUCCAAACCAACGCCAGCUAGAGUUUAGUAACAGUUUAACUUGUAUAAACUUGCAUAUUAAACAAUUUAAAUUGAAUCGUUCACAAUUAUUAACCAAUGUCAUAAAGUGGUAUAAGUCCGACCCCUGUUAAUUCAUGGAUAAUCUGCAAACUUUAACAAAACAAAUAAUUUUAAUAUUUACUUAAAACUACCUUAAAGUAUAUUUGGAAAAUAUCUUUUAUCAUAGACCAAAUUAUAAGAGAUAAAUGUAUAUUUACUUUUAAAAUAAUUAUUAUAGGAGUCACUUAUAACUUAGGGUCUAAAUGAUUUAACUCACACAAGCUACAAUUUUAACGGAUUCAAAAGUUGGUCCAAUUGCUUAGUUUAGAAUUCUUUAAAAAAUCUAUAAAACUGAACUAUAAAUUUGAACCAUAUUGUUGUUAAAUAAAUUAAUCAUUCAUUUUUAAAUAACAAAAUUAAAAGAACAACACUGCAAAUAUAUAAAAGGUGAGAUACUAGGUUCGGGAGUCAUUUAAGUGAGAGAAAAAUAUUAGACAUCUCUCACCUCCAUUGUAUUCAAUGAAAUCCUCCUCUAAAUCUAGGGUUAGUGUGUUUUUAAGAGAAUUUUGCUUUAAUAUUUAUUAAUUAUUUAAUUAUUUAUUUAUUUAACAAAAAGAUAUUUGAUUAGAGAAAAGAAAAAUCAAUUACAAAAGAAGACUAAAAAAUGUUUUUGAUUAUUAUACUUGCUAGAAUCUUACAACUCUAACUCUAUGCCUACGUACCAUUACUUUUAAUGAAAGAUCAGAGUCUCGUAGUUCUGGUAGAAAAAUGUUUGUAGUUUUUAUCCCUUAAAAAUUCUUAAGCAUCGGGGACGAAAAAGUAAUUGAUUUUGAAAAAUGCAUCAAUGCACUAUGGCAGAUGACUUAUAGUUUGAGGUGAGUUUAAAUUAAUUUUAUUCCAAUUAUUGAUUAAAAAAAUAUAGUACUUAAUUUAUUUAUGAAAAUAAAUAUUAUAUAUUUAUAAGACAUAUCUCUUAUCCCGAUUGUAUCCCCGAUUUAUCCCUUAUUUUUAUCUCUUUGAAAUCCUAAAAAUCUAUCCCUUAUUUUAUCCCAUGUUCUUAUCCCCUUUGAUUGCAAAAAUAUAAUAUAUUAAAUAACUUAAAUAAGAUGUAAUAUGAUGUAUCCCUUAUUUUUAUCUCUUUGAAAUCCUAAAAGUCUAUCCCUUAUUUUAUCCCAUGUUCUUAUCCCCUUUGAUUGCAAAAAUAUAAUAUAAUUAAAUAACUUAAAUAAGAUGUAUCCCUCAUCCCGAUUUUAUCCCUUAAAACCCUAUAAAUUAUCCCUAAAAUUUCUUGAUUUAAUUAUCCCUAGUUUCUAUAAAUCCCUAAUUAAUAUGACUAUUCUAAAUAAUUGAUGAAGAAUCCAACUUAAAAAUAAAUAUUAAAUUAAUGAAAUCCCCGAUUAUUAGUUUAAUUAAAUCCAAUUAAUUUUAAUAAACCAACCUUAAUAAUUAAAUUCCUAAAACUAUAUAUUCAUUAAAAUAAAUAUAUUUUAAAAAACAGGGGGGGUGUAUUAUGGUACUAAAUAAACAAUUGGGCUUGAAGCUGGGGUGUGGGAAGCAAUGGAAAGAAAGGCCCAAUACUCUCUGAAGUCUAACGCAUGGGGGUCUAUAGAAGGAGAGAGUCAAUCGUUGACUCUCUUUGGUUCCUUUGAUCAAGAUCAUGGGGAUGUUAUUACACUUAAUCAUAGCCUUUGGUUUGAUUGACUGGUCAAAGUAUAUAGAGUGUAUGAUUGAAAUGCAGAGUCAAAAGGGGACUCGGGGUAUACACGCAUACACAACGGGUGAGUUUUUUCCUGCAUUGCCCUCCUAUUGAAUUUUUUUAUCCAAUAUGCCCCAGUCUGAAAAUAAUUUCCCAAUCUACCCCCUUUUUCAAUUAGGGCUCGCCACUUCAAACGACGAGGGGAUGAAGGCCUAAUUUACGCAGUUAGGGCUCGUCACUUCAAGUGACGAGGACAUGAAGAAGGAUUUUUUUUUAAUAUUUUAAAUAUUGUAUUAAAUAAUAAUAAUAAUUAAUAUAAUUAAUUUUUAAUUAUUAAUUCUAUAUUUAAUUAAUAUAAUUGAUUUAAUUAAAAAUAAUAAUAAUUUUUUUAUAAAAAAAUAUUUAAAAUAAAUUGUAAAUAAUUAUAGUUUUUCAUGAUAAUAAAAAAAUUGUGAUANUGUAGAAAUUGAAGAGAGUAAAUAUUUGAAGAGGGUAAGAAUGUGUGAAAUAGAAAUUGUAGGUAGAUGAUGAGUAAGAAGUGUAGAAGUAUUGAUUAUUUAUAGUGGUAAAAUUAUAAUAAAAAAAAUUGGUAAAAGUUUGAAUAGUAGAGGAUUAGACAUUGCAUUGCAUGUCAUGCAUGCAAAAAAAAUUGUAAGGAUUCCCUGUAACAUGAGAUUCCCACGCUGAAGGGAAAACACAAUGCCAAUAGCCUGCACUAUGGCUCGUCACUUUGAUGGACGAGCUGUACCUACUUCUUUGAGGCCUCGUCAAAUGGAAUGGCGAGGUGAUUCAUCCUCUUUGUUGCCUCGUCAAAUGAAGUGACAAGUUCUGUAUGUCUAGGGUUUUGUCUCGUCAAUCCAAGUGAUGAGCUAUCACAUGCCAAUUUCCUCACGCGUUUCCCUACUUCUCCCUCCUCUAUUUAACUUAAAAUCAGCAUGUGAUUUGGAUAUUGUAUUAUAUUCACACCAAAUCAAACUCAUAUUUCCUAUAAAUACUACUAACUUCCUCAUUUACAUUCACCAAAUCAAAUCCUCAUUUAUAUUCACACCAAAUCAAAUCCUCAUUUAUAUUCACACUAAAUCAAAUAUUACACAUCCAUGGCUCAAAGAAAUUUAGUUGUUUCUAUCCAUUCCGAAGGGUCACUUUUCACAUAUUCAAGUGAGGGAUUCUCAUUUUGCAAUACGAAUUUAACUAUGUUCAAAAUCCACAUCAACUCCGACUUUCAUAAUUUAAAAGACCGUAUUGAAAAGAAGUUGCAACGUUAUGUUGAAGACAUCAUUUAUCGUCAACCAUUAUUUAAUGGAGAUGAUAAUACCGUCUUUCACAUAAUGACACCGAUUAAGACCGACGAAGAAAUUUGUUGUUCAAAUCCAAAUUGGAGUUUGACUCGAUCCGUCUGAUGCAUCUCAACGGUAUAGAAACAUAUGAUAUAUGUUGUUGCACUCCAGACUCGGCUGUCAUUAUAAUCAGGCACUGGAUAUUAUAUGUACGGCCUCCAAAUAAACUGUUAAAAGAAAUAUAACUAUUAGAAUGUAUAUUAAAUUUAAAUAAGUUAAAUAUUUUAAUUAAUCAUUCUUACAUCUUUUUCUUCCAUGUGUUCUAUUGCAACACGGUACCCUUGUACAUGAUGUCGAGGAUUAUUUCGAUAAUUCAUACCUCGUUUGCACCAUCUUGCAUAUUAAAAAAAAUAUGUUAAAUUGACGUAUAAUUUUUUUUUGAUAAAUAUAAAUUGCAUUUAAAUGAAAAUCGUUACCUUAAACCUCGUUACUAACCGGGGCUAUCAAGGGUAUGCGUGUGAAUGCCCAUACAGUUAGUAAUACCACACAUCCUCCUAUGCUCUUUACUCCUCUAUGGGCCGCCUUGCACAUAUGUCUAUAUAGUGUAGCCAAACAAGCAGAACCCCAACUGUAUGAAUUACAUUUUUCAAGGUCUCCUACUAAAGGUAACCAAGAAGAAUGCAACAAAUUGUGACUUUUAUCUGGCAUUAAAAAAGUAGCAAUUAAAAGUAAAAUAUAAAUUUUUGCAUGUAAAAUAUUUUCUGCCUCGGACGGGUUAGGGUUAUUUUUUAGUUGCGUUAAUACUGCGUCUAGCCAAACAAUUUUGACAGAAGCCCCAUUUUUAUCCGAGGGCGGUUGGUUCGAUGCCCAAAUUUUCCAUGUAAACGGCACUGGUUACGUUUGUUGGGCCAUUGACAGCUUUUCCAUGGAUUCGGAGACCGAAUAACAUACUCACAUCCUCUAAUGUGAUGGUACAUUCACCUGUUGGUAAAUGAAAUGUAUGUGUCUCCGGUCUCCAUCUCUCUAACAAUGCCACAAUGAGUUUAGAGUCUACUUUUAGACUUGCAAUUUUUGCCACAUUCGCAAAACCUGCUAGCUCCAAGUACGGUAUUAUAACCGCACUUGGUUGAAUAUAUGAAUGCAAAUGAACCCGAAAUUUUCCAUCUUGCUGAAAUUAAAAUAAAUAACAGUAAUGAAUAUUUGGUCUAAUAAAGAACGGAAGUAAAAAACGAUAAUAAAAAACGAUAAUAAAAAACGGUAAAUUUGAAUGAGACUUACGUAUUCGACAAUGUUUGCCGCCGUCCCACGGUGUGAUUCACCCAUCCAUAAGAAAGACAUCUUGAAAGGAAGUGUAGAAAUUGAAGAGAGUAAAUAUUUGAAGAGGGUAAGAAUGUGUGAAAUAGAAAUUGUAGGUAGAUGAUGAGUAAGAAGUGUAGAAGUAUUGAUUAUUUAUAGUGGUAAAAUUAUAAUAAAAAAAAUUGGUAAAAGUUUGAAUAGUAGAGGAUUAGACAUUGCAUUGCAUGUCAUGCAUGCAAAAAAAAUUGUUAAGGAUUCCCUGUAACAUGAGAUUCCCACGCUGAAGGGAAAACACAAUGCCAAUAGCCUGCACCUAUGGCUCGUCACUUUGAUUGACGAGCUGUACCUACUUCUUUGAGGCCUCGUCAAAUGGAAUGGAGAGGUGAUUCGUCCUCUUUGUUGCCUCGUCAAAUGAAGUGACGAGUGCUUUAUGUCUAGGGUUUUGUCUCGUCAAUCCAAGUGACGAGCUAUCACAUGCCAAUUUCCUCACGCGUUUCCCUCUGUCUCUCUCCUCUAUUUAACUUAAAAUUAGCAUGUGAUUUGGAUAUUGUAUUAUAUUCACACCAAAUCAAAUUCAUAUUUCCUAUAAAUACUACUACUUCCUCAUUUACAUUCACCAAAUCAAAUCCUCAUUUAUAUUCACACCAAACCAAAUCCUCAUUUAUAUUCACACCAAAUCAAAUCCUCAUUUAUAUUCAUACUAAAUCAAAUAUUACACAUCCAUAUGGAAUGAGUCAUUUAUCGUCAACCAUUAUUUAAUGGAGAUGAUAAUACCGUCUUUCACAUAAUGACACUGAUUAAGACCGACGAAGAUGUCAGGUCGAUGUUUCAAUGUCAUGUAACAUUAUCUCAAUUACCCAGCAUUGAGAUAUAUGUUCGUCUAGUCGAUAAUCUUGAAGAACAACCGAGUGACAAUGUUGAGGAACAACCGUCUCACAACGAAAAUCACUGUUAUCCAACGCAAUCUGUACAGUCACACGACUAUGGAAUGAGUCAAGCCAUUGACGAAGAGCCGACUCAAAAUAAUGAACCUUUCAUACCAAAUGAAGAGGUGGGCGAGAAUAGUGAGGAUGAUCUUGAGGAGGUUCGAUUUGAAGAUCUAUUCGGUGUUAGCGAUGACGAUGGCAAUGAGGAAAUAUUCGACACACCGGCCGUUGCACUAAGAGCGCAACCAAUUAGUUUGUACAACCCACCUGCGCACAUGCAAAACAUAAGUUUGGAUGAUGCCGAACCAAUCUCCGUUUUCGGCAGUUUCAUACCAACUCACAACUUUGACGAAAUAGAGGAGGGCAUAGAGUAUGAAGAUAAGGAAGAGUGUCUUCUGGCGUUGCAACAAUGGCAUAUAAAACGUAGUCUAGAUUUUUCUGUGGUUAAAUCUGACAGUGUAUGUUUUGUCAUCAAAUGUAGAAAUUCAACAUGCAAUUUCAAAUGCAGGGUCUCUUUGCGCAAGGGCAACUCAAGGUGGAGAGUUGGUAAGUCUAGUGGGCCUCAUACGUGCACAACCACUUCCAUGUCACAAGACCAUACAAAACUCAGUUCAGAAAUGAUUAGCAAGAGCAUAAUGGAGCUUGUAAAUCGGGACGCUUCUCUUAAGGUGAAGGUUAUCAUUGCUCAUGUUGUUGAGAAAUACCGGUAUAUCAUAUCAUACAAAAAGGCAUGGAUUGCAAAGUGUAAGGCGGUUGAGUCGCUCUAUAGAAAUUGGGAGACAUCUUACAACGAUCUUCUACAGUGGAUACUGGUAAUGAAAACAUAUCUACCAGGUACCAUUAUAGAAUUACAAACCCUACCUGUGAUUUCAAAUGAUGGUUCAUACUUGGGUGACCAAAGGAUAUUUCAUCGUCUGUUUUGGGCGUUUAGACCAUGUAUACGUGGCUUCGCGUAUUGUAAACCAAUUGUGCAGGUUGAUGGAACUUGGUUGUAUGGCAAGUACAGAGGGGCUCUGCUGAUGGAUGUGGCACAGGAUGGGAAGGGGAACAUAUUUCCGAUAGCGUUCGCAUUGGUUGAAAGUGAGACAAAGGAAGCCUGGAGUUUCUUUCUUAAGAAUUUGAGAAUGCAUGUUACCCCCCAAGCAAAUCUAUGCCUAAUAUCAAACAGGCAUGAAUCAAUAAAGAAUGCAUACAACAACCCGGAAAAUGGAUGGCAGUUUCCUCCUUCAUCACACGUCUAUUGCAUUAGACAUAUCGCGCAAAACUUCAUGCGGGAGAUUAAAGAUAAGGAUCUGCGGAAAAUAGUUGUUAACAUGGGUUAUGCGUUAACAGAGGCAACGUUUAACUACUAUCGGGGGGAAAUCCGAAGAACAAACAACGACGCUUUAUCAUAGAUAGACAACAUCCCUCGCGAGAAGUGGGCAAGGGCAUUUGACGGAGGGCAACGCUGGGGUCACAUGACAACUAACCUAGCAGAAGCAACGAACGCGGUGUUGAAAGAAACCCGGAACCUUUCAAUCACUGCAUUGGUCAAAUCUACGUACUAUCGUUUAGGAUCACUAUUUGGUAGAAGAGGCCAUCAGUGGACAAAAAUGUUAGCCUCUGGGCAGGUUUUCACUGAUAACUGCAACAAGGGGAUGGCUGAGGAAGUCAUCAAAGCUAACACGCAUAACGUCAUGCAGUUCGACCGAGAGAGAUUUUAUUUCAUGGUCCAAGAGAAGAUUAAUCAUAACGACGGUCGACCAACCGGAACGUUCAGCGUUGAUCUGAGGAAACAACACUGUGACUGUGGGAAAUUUCAGGCAUUUCACUUACCUUGCUCCCAUGUAAUCGCAGCAUGUUCGAGCAUACGCCAGGACUAUUCCAUUCACAUUCCAGACGUCUUCAAAAUUCGUAACGUCUUCAAGGUCUAUCAGGAGAGUUUCCUAGGACUUCCCCAUGAGGAGAAUUGGCCACAAUAUGAAGGAUAUACUCUUUGCCACGACGACUCUAUGAGAAGGAGGAAGAAAGGGCGCCCAAACAGCACCAGGAUUAGAACCGAGAUGGACGACGUUGAGAAGGAGAAGAGAAGGUGUGGAAUUUGUCGCGAAAUAGGACACAUGCGUAGGAAAUGUCCUAAUGUUGCAGGAUCAUCCCAACGACCUUCCAGAUGAUUAUCUUGUUGUUUUAAAUAUUCGUUCAGAUGACUAUGUUUAUUUAUUUAUUUAUUAACUACUAUGCACAUAAUAUAUAUAAACCAUUUUGUAUUUCUAAUGUCUUUUGGGAACAAACAUUUAUGAAAUACAUUUGAUAAUCAAAGGCUUCUGGUUACAAAGUACGACCACAUCAACUAAACAACAACAACAACCAACACAAGUGGUAAUUAAAAAACUAAUCAACAACAACAACCAACACAAGUGGACCUUCAACUCCUCUAUUAACUUCACCACUAUGUGCCGAAAACAUACAUUGGACAUCUUCAUCAUUUUCUAUACGAUCCAGGUAAUACAUGUACGUACCAUCGGGGCUUGCAUCAGUCAACGUUAUGUAUGGACAACGAUACUCUACUUUCCUCACCUUCAUACGACGCCCGCCCAACUGUCGGAAGCCAGUGUGGAUGGCAGAAAUCAGUGUUCUGAAAUUCCAUUGCGGAUCAAGGCAAACACUCAUUUUUUCACCGUGUCCAUAAAAUACAAGACCACAAACAGACAUUAUGAACUAAAGAAAGGAUUUGGUGGUGUGAGUUUCAUUUCUACCAGUUNNNNNNNNNNNNNNNNNNNNNNNNNNNNNNNNNNNNNNNNNNNNNNNNNNNNNNNNNNNNNNNNNNNNNNNNNNNNNNNNNNNNNNNNNNNNNNNNNNNNNNNNNNNNNNNNNNNNNNNNNNNNNNNNNNNNNNNNNNNNNNNNNNNNNNNNNNNNNNNNNNNNNNNNNNNNNNNNNNNNNNNNNNNNNNNNNNNNNNNNNNNNNNNNNNNNNNNNNNNNNCAACAACAACCAACACAAGUGGACCUUCAACUCCUCUAUUAACUUCACCACUAUGUGCCGAAAACAUACACUGGACAUCUUCAUCAUUUUCUAUACGAUCCAGGUAAUACAUGUACAUACCAUCGGGGCUUGCAUCAGUCAACGUUAUGUAUGGACAACGAUACUCUACUUUCCUCACCUUCAUACGACGCUCGCCCAACUGUCGGAAGCCAGUGUGGAUGGCAGAAAUCAGUGUUCGGAAAUUCCAUUGCGGAUCAAGGCAAACACUCAUUUUCUCACCGUGUCCAUAAAAUACAAGACCACAAACAGACAUUCUGAACUAAAGAAAGGAUUUGGUGGUCUGAGUUACAUUUCUACAAGUUCUGCUAUUUAUACAAAAAUUAAUAGUUGAAUACUCAGCCAAUCAUUGGCCGAGACAGUACAAACACAAAAACUUUUUGGCGGGAAAGAUAUCAUUCCCAAAAAAUGAUUGACAUUUUGGAGGGAAACAUAACAAUUUUAUUAUUAAUAUAUAAGACAUAAAUUAUUUCUAUUAUUAAUAUUCUAAAAAUUAAUCAUUUUUAUUAUUAGUAUUUCAAAAAUAAUAAUAUCACAAUUUUUUUAUUAUCAUGAAAAACUAUAAUUAUUUACAAUUUAUUUUAAAUAUUUUUUUAUAAAAAAAUUAUUAUUAUUUUUAAUUAAAUCAAUUAUAUUAAUUAUUUUUUUAUUAUCAUGAAAAACUAUAAUUAUUUACAAUUUAUUUUAAAUAUUUUUUUAUAAAAAAAUUAUUAUUAUUUUUAAUUAAAUCAAUUAUAUUAAUUAAAUAUAAAAUUAAUAAUUAAAAAUUAAUUAUAUUAAUUAUUAUUAUUAUUUAAUACAGUAUUUAAAAUAUUAAAAAAUAAAAAAAUCCUUCUUCAUGUCCUCGUCACUUGAAGUGACGAGCCCUAACUGCGUAAAUUGGGCCUUCAUCCCCUCGUCAUUUGAAGUGGCGAGCCCUAACUGAAAAAGGGAUAGAUUGAGAAAUUAUUUUCAGACUGGGGCAUAUUGGGUAAAAAAUUUCAAAUAGAGGGCAUAUGCAGCAAAAACUCACAACGGGUAUGUUGAGUCAACUGGUUGAUUGGUUGAGAGAGGUCACGCAAGCAUGAUGUGGCACUUGGCUGGAUGAGGGUAUAAAAGUUAUCUCCCUUUAGAAAUCUUCAUUUCCACUUCUCUCAUUCUCCCUCUCUUCAUUGCUCUCCCUCUCUCUUCUCUCCCCUCUUUCUACUUCGGCAACCCUCUUCCCCACCGUAUAUCCCCAGAAACCACCCACAAACCACCACAUUCAACUGAGAUCUUUAUGUUCAUCAUGAACAUGAAAAACACCCAACUCAGAAACCGACCCCUCACCAUCCUUUCCCCCAGAACCACCGAAUCUCCGGAUCUCGGGUUGAAGCUCAACCAGGAUCUUCAAUCAAUGUUCAUCUGGGUGAUGAACAUCAACCCAGAACCAAGAACCCUAACCCUAACAUUCAACCAAAACCCAGAAUCACAAGAACCAUAACCCUAACUGAAGAACCCUAACCUUCAAAAUCAAAACCCAAAUUCUCCUAACCUUUAUCAUGUUCAUCAUGAACAUGAUGAAUCUUCAUCCCUGAUCUCUGAACCAUAACCCAAAUUUCCAGAAAUCCCCACAAUUCACCCAAUCAUAACAAAAACAACCUUAAAUCAAAGGUCGUAACCUCUUUAUCAAUAAUUAACCGCCAAAAUAAAUAACAAAACAUCCUAAAACCAUGAAUCAAUCCAUCUGAACCCUAAUCCCCAAAUCAACCCCAAUCAUCAUACAUCAACAACAACAUCAAAGAGUCAACAAAAGUAAGCAAAUAAGUGAAGUUCUACCAACCUACAGAAUCGAGGAAUAUUCCAGUUCGAAAGGUAAUUACCUAGAGUCCUUUCUUAAUUACUUCUUUUAUUAUGCUCCUCUUCUAAUCCCUUUCUUAUUGUUAUGCGAGGUUUGAUGGUUGGCUAAGCUCAAAUAACUUAGGGUUUCAGUGUGAAGCCCUAAACAUCAAAUUUUGUUGAGCAUAUGGUGAGACUUUUAGGAUCAAUGUUGCGACUGCAAGUUCCAAGUCCUUAGGGUUUUCUUCGUCCCUGAUUGAAUUUUAGGUUUAUGUUUAUAUAAAUUAUUUUUUAGGGUUUUAGAUUUCAAUUCUGAUUGUAUGGUUUUAUAAGAUUAGGACCUGAUUGAUUAUGUAUUUGAUUUAGAUUGAUUUUGUGUUAUAAAUAGAAAUUAGGUUUGAAUUGUAACAGACAUUGACAAUUUAUGUAGUCCAAUUUUGAUUGAUAUUCACGAUUUGAAUGUAUAUGAAAUAAAAACAGAAAUUUUGGAUUGGUUUUAAAAUUGCAGUUUUCGAUUUGUUCUGAAAAUGGUUUUGCGCAAGUCAGGGUUUAGAUUAGGGAAGAAGCUGAACCUGAGUCAUGAGCUUGCCCCGGUUCAGUGAUGGAUCUUUGGUCUAGCCUGACCCAGUUCGAUUGUGGUUUUGAAUCCUCUUGGUCUGACCAUCACUUGGGCCAAAUAACGAUAAUCAAGAUAUAACAAAAAAAUAAUUGGCACGUCCAUAAUAAUAAUAUAACAAA